RNAcentral lists this long non-coding RNA (72803 nucleotides) under Xyrichtys novacula (pearly razorfish). Lineage: Eukaryota; Metazoa; Chordata; Actinopteri; Labriformes; Labridae. The record is from RNAcentral.
GUCCAGACUUUUUUCAAAUAGGACAUGUAGUUUGUCUGCAGCGAGCGUUUUGGUAGAAACUGCGCCUCCCAUUCAUUAUAAUGGGAAAUGACCACAGACAAGUGCGCACACCAUCUUUGGACCUUGAGUGUGACGCGAUCGGGAGGGGGAGGCGGUCGCGCUGGGGGCGGCGCGACGCGGCUCGGGCCCGACAGUGCCCCACCGGGGCCCUAGUUCUUUCUUUUUUCUUUUUCCUCCCCUUUGAACUGGAAAAUGGCCCACUUCCCACUGGCGAAAACUCAUGAAAUUUGGCAGGACGACCGGGCCUGGUGAAAAAUUUGAUAUUCUGAAGUCGCCAAAACAAUAAAAUGCAAAAUGGCUCCAUAGCGCCCCCUAAGGUGAAAAUUCACACUAUUCACUGUCACGACUGUACGCUUUGUCAAAAUGACACAAAAAUUGACACACACAUGUAUCUCAAUAAGAUCUACGAAAAAGUCAGUGCGGCCGUAUCUGUCAAAAUUACGGUUAAAGGGUUAUUUCGCAUUUUUUGCCGAUCUGCACACAUUGGAAUUUCGCUAACUCCUCCGAAGGCUUUCGUUCCACCGGCACCACAUUUGCUCAGGCCAAUCUACACCCCGUGGCCAUUAAAAGUUAUCAAAAUCAUGACGCUGCACCCCAAGGUUUAGGUUCUAGGGGGCGCCAAAGAUAACACUAAAAUCCACAUAUUUAAAAGUCUUAUAACUUUUUAUUUUUGUCCUCACUGGCCUCCAAGUUUUCUAGGAUGAUGCAAUGUCCAGCCAUCAACACAUUUGUGAAGGAAUUUUUACUCCCCAAAAGAGCGCCCCCCCAUGGCAGGAGAAAAAAGUCCAUUUUUUCUUGUCCCCUAAGGUGAAAAUACACAUUGUUGAGUGUCACGCCUAUACGCUUUGUCAAAAUGACACAAAAAUUGACACACACAUGUAACUCAAUAAGAUCUACGAAAAAGUCAAUGCGCGCGUAUCUGUCAAAUGUACGGUUAAAGGGUUAUUCCGCAUUUUUUGCCGAUCCGCACACAUUGGAAUGUGGCUAACUCCUCCUAAGGCUUUCGUUCCACCGGCACCACAUUUGCUCAGGCCAAUCUACACCCCAUGGCCAUUAAAAGUUAUCAAAAUCAUGACGCUGCACCCCACGGUUUAGGUUCUAGGGGGCGCCAAAGAUAACCCUAAAAUCCACAUAUUUAAAAGCCUUAUAACUUUUUAUUUUUGUCCUCACUGGCCUCCAAGUUUUCUAGGAUGAUGCAAUGUCCAGCCAUCAACACAUUUGUGAAGGAAUUUUUACUCCCCAAAAGAGCGCCCCCCCAUGGCAGGAGAAAAAAGUCCAUUUUUUCUUGUCCCCUAAGGUGAAAAUACACAUUGUUGAGUGUCACGCCUAUACGCUUUGUCAAAAUGACACAAAAAUUGACACACACAUGUAACUCAAUAAGAUCUACGAAAAAGUCAAUGCGCGCGUAUCUGUCAAAUGUACGGUUAAAGGGUUAUUCCGCAUUUUUUGCCGAUCCGCACACAUUGGAAUGUGGCUAACUCCUCCUAAGGCUUUCGUUCCACCGGCACCACAUUUGCUCAGGCCAAUCUACACCCCAUGGCCAUUAAAAGUUAUCAAAAUCAUGACGCUGCACCCCACGGUUUAGGUUCUAGGGGGCGCCAAAGAUAACCCUAAAAUCCACAUAUUUAAAAGCCUUAUAACUUUUUAUUUUUGUCCUCACUGGCCUCCAAGUUUUCUAGGAUGAUGCAAUGUCCAGCCAUCAACAAAUUUGUGAAGGAAUUUUUACUCCCCAAAAGAGCGCCAUGGCAGGAGAAAAAAGUCCAUUUUUUCUUGUCCCCUCAGGUGAAAAUACAUAUUGUUGAGAUUCACGCCUAUACGCUUUGUCAUAUUGACACAAAAUUUGACAAUCACGUGCCUUGCCUGGUAUCAUUUUUUUCAGCACAACCUCACCUGUGCGAAUUUACAGUUAUUUUAUCAUGUUGACAUACUGAAUUUACACAAUGGACCCAAAUUCACACACAAAACAUAAAAUCCGAGUGGAAAAAAGUAACAUUUUUACUGUGAAAACCACAAAUAUGUGUGAUGAACUGUUUUUAAAACUUAAACUUCAAAUAAAAAUUGUAAACUUCAAAACAUAUGCAAAUUUUUAACAAAGAACAUAGUGAUUUACCUCUAUUUACAUCAAAAUGCAGGCAAUGGCCCAGGCGUUCUUUGUAAAAUUAUUUACAAAACACUGUAUAGUCUCACAAAUGUCACUUUUUAUUUAUGCCACUACAAAAAAACAUGAUGUAAAUGAUGCAUGAUGUAAAACAUGAUGUAAAAAACUUGUGUAGAUCCUCCUGUAUGUCAGUCCAUGUGUAAUUUUUCCAUAAUUCUUUGUUUUUUGCAGCAUUUUUGUUAGUGUAACUGCAGAUUGUGCUGACAGUGUCUAUGGCACAAAAAAAAAAAAUUAAAAUGCCUCAACAUGAACCCCUGGUGGUCUCUGAGGGUGAAACCUGCUAACUGCUGCAGCUCUGUCAGCUUCAGUCUCCCAUGCAGAGCUCUGAGCGCAUGUGUGGCUCUGCACCCUUAGCAGCGUUGCUAACUCCUCAGUAAGGAAAGCCUGCUUCAUGUCAGAGUCUCUAAACUCCAGUAGAAGUCGAUAAAAGUCCCUUUCUUUCUAAAAAAAAGUCGUUAGGGGGUCUGAAAAGUCAUUGAAUCUAACAACAAAGUCGCUAGGUUUGCAACUACGUGUCCCAGACUGCAUCCCUGCUGAGAGUCCCUCCCUCCCUUCUCAUGUUGCAGGAAGAACGUAAGCGCCCGCCCCUUGUCAAUCAGUCACCAUAUAAUUUUGGAUUGGUUGUUGUGGUGAAGUUUUCCACCAAUAGGAGAGAUGUUGUGGUGUGUUUUUUUUUCUUUUGGCAAGCCUUUUCCGCCUGUAAGACCUGUCGCUAAUGUCUGCAUGCUAUGUUUUCCUGUCUCAUACAGCGCGAUCGAGCGCCGAACGUGAUCAAAAUAAGCAGAAAAAAAGUAUCGCGGACAUAAUUUAUCAUAACUCUGGUUUUAUUUGGCCUAUCAACACAAUUUAAAAACUGGUAUAUAGGUUGAGGUCCUCACUUUUGAGAUAAGUUGAAACGGAGAGUCAACGAGGCUCCGUCUUGCAGCUACAUCCGGUUAAAUAUGUCAUGUGACUUGAACGCACACACAGACACACACACGCACACACACACACACACACACACACACUCAGAGUCUGGUUUUUAGCACCUGCAAAAACAUGCUAUUUACAUAUUUGACAAGAAUGCAGAGGCUCCUUUUGCCCCUGAAAAAAAUGAAAUUUCAAACACAACUUGACUGCUCAUUUCUCCAAAAGACAACCAUGAAGCUCCAUCCAAACCUGAAGCAGGCAGUUGGUGCAUGUGUACAGUAACCUGAGGGGAGUGAGGUGAGUGCUUCUGAGGAGAACAUGAGCAGUGAAGAUUCACCUUUGAGCUAGAACAGAGACAUGCACAUGAUUAUACAGGGGCAGGGGCUCAAGUUUUUUCCAGUCGUUUAUACAAUAUGGAAAUUAAUGUGAAACUAGGACCCCGUUGGGGCACUGGCGGGCCCGAGCCGUGUCGCGUCCCCCCCCCAACGUGCUGCCUCCCCGUCCCAUUUGUGUCCUCUGGCCAUCGCCCUCUCUGGUAACGCCCAUCACUGCAAAGACCCUUUUCCUUCAUCGGCGUUUGCUGUUCUUCCUGCCAGUGCGUGUUGCUUUCACUUACACUUGCCACAGCCAGCCUCGUGAGUGCCUAGCCUAUUGGAUAUCACUGUCACCUACACAGGACAGUCAUUACCUUUCUAUAAAUACUUUGUGUUUUAAUUUCACAUUAAUUUCCAUAUUGUAUAAACGACUGGAAAAAACUUGAGCCCCUGCCCCUGUAUAAUCAUGUGCAUGUCUCUGUUCUAGCUCCAAGGUGAAUCUUCACUGCUCAUGUUCUCCUCAGAAGCACUCACCUCACUCCCCUCAGGUUACUGUACACAUGCACCAACUGCCUGCUUCAGGUUUGGAUGGAGCUUCAUGGUUGUCUUUUGGAGAAAUGACCAGUCAAGUUGUGUUUGAAAUUUGAUUUUUUUCAGGGGCAAAAGGAGCCUCUGCAUUCUUGUCAAAUAUGUAAAUAGCAUGUUUUUGCAGGUGCUAAAAACCAGACUCUGAGUGUGUGUGUGUGUCUGUGUGUGUGUGUGUGUGUGUGUGUGUGUGUGUGUGUGUGCGUUUGUGUGUGUCUAUGUGUGCGUUCAAAUCACAUGACAUAUUUAACCGGAUGUAGCUGCAAGACGGAGCCUCGUUGACUCUCCGUUUCAACUUAUCUCAAAAGUGAGGACCUCAACCUAUAUACCAGUUUUUAAAUUGUGUUGAUAGGCCAAAUAAAACCAGAGUUAUGAUAAAUUAUGUCCGCGAUACUUUUUUUCUGCUUAUUUUGAUCACGUUCGGCGCUCGAUCGCGCUGUAUGAGACAGGAAAACAUAGCAUGCAGACAUUAGCGACAGGUCUUACAGGCGGAAAAGGCUUGCCAAAGGAAAAAAAAAACACACCACAACAUCUCUCCUAUUGGUGGAAAACUUCACCACAACAACCAAUCCAAAAUUAUAUGGUGACUGAUUGACAAGGGGCGGGCGCUUACGUUCUUCCUGCAACAUGAGAAGGGAGGGAGGGACUCUCAGCAGGGAUGCAGUCUGGGACACGUAGUUGCAAACCUAGCGACUUUGUUGUUAGAUUCAAUGACUUUUCAGACCCCUUAACGACUUUUUUUUAGAAAGAAAGUGACUUUUAUCGACUUCUUCUGGAGUUUAGAGACUCUGACAUGAAGCAGGCUUUCCUUACUGAGGAGUUAGCAACGCUGCUAAGGGUGCAGAGCCACACAUGCACUCAGAGCUCUGCAUGGGAGACUGAAGCUGACAGAGCUGCAGCAGUUAGCAGGUUUCACCCUCAGAGACCACCAGGGGUUCAUGUUGAGGCAUUUUAAUUUUUUUUUUUUUUGUGCCAUAGACACUGUCAGCACAAUCUGCAGUUACACUAACAAAAAUGCUGCAAAAAACAAAGAAUUAUGGAAAAAUUACACAUGGACUGACAUAGAGGAGGAUCUACACAAGUUUUUUACAUCAUGUUUUACAUCAUGCAUCAUUUACAUCAUGUUUUUUUGUAGUGGCAUAAAUAAAAAGUGACAUUUGUGAGACUAUACAGUGUUUUGUAAAUAAUUUUACAAAGAACGCCCUGGGCCAUUGCCUGCAUUUUGAUGUAAAUAGAGGUAAAUUACUAUGUUCUUUGUUAAAAAUUUGCAUAUGUUUUGAAGUUUACAAUUUUUAUUUGAAGUUUAAGUUUUAAAAACAGUUCAUCACACAUAUUUGUGGUUUAAUUUCACAUUAAUUUCCAUAUUGUAUAAAUGACUGGAAAAAACUUGAGCCCCUGCCCCUGUAUAAUCAUGUGCACGUCCCUGUUCUAGCUCCAAGGUGAAUCUUCACUGCUCAUGUUCUCCUCAGAAAUAGUCACCUCACUCCCCUCAGGUUACUGUACACAUGCACCAACUAUCUGCUUCAGGUUUGAAAUGGAGCUUCAUGGUUGUCUUUUGGAGAAAUGAACAGUCAAGUUGUGUUUGAAAUUUGAUUUUUUUCAGGGGCAAAAGGAAGCCUCUGCAUUCUUGUCAAAUAUGUAAACAGCAUGUUUUUGCAGGUGCUAAAAAACAGACUCUGAGUGUGUGUGUGUGUCUGUGUGUGUGUGUGUGUGUGUGUGUGUGUGUGUAUGUUGGCGUGUGUGUAUAUGUGUGUGUAUCCUGCAGUACUCUGUACUCCUGCAGUGGCCAAAAAGACUUUUAAGAAUGUGGAUUUUUGGGUCAUCUUUGGCGCCCCCUAGAACUGCAGUACUCUGUACUCCUGCAGUGGCCAAAAUGACUUUUAAGAAUGUGGAUUUUUGGGUCAUCUUUGGCGCCCCCUAGAACGUAAACCGUGGGGUGCAGCGUCAUGAUUUUUACAACUUUGAAUGACCAUGGGGUGUAGAUUGGCCUGAGCAAAUUUGGUGUCAGUGGGACGAAAGCCUUAGGAGGAGUUAGCCACAUUCCAAUGUGUGCGAAUCGGCAAAAAAUGCAAAAUAGCCCUUUAACCGUACAUUUGACAGAUACGCGCGCAUUGACUUUUUUGUAGAUCUUAUUGAGAUACAUGUGUGUGUCAAAUUUUGUGUCAAUAUGAUAAAGCGUACAGGCGUGACAGUCAAUAGUGUGAAUUUUCACCUUAGGGGGCGCUAUGGAGCCAUUUUGCAUUUUCUUGUUUGGGCGACUUCGGAAUAUCAAAUUUUUCACCAGGCCCGGUCGUCCUGCCAAAUUUCAUGAGUUUUCGCCAGUGGGAAGUGGGCCAUUUUCCAGUUCAAAGGGGAGGAAAAAUAAUAAUAACAAAAGAAGGAAACUACAGGAACAAGAGGGCUCUCGCAGCUGCUUAGCAGCUACGCUCGGGCCCUAAAAACCACUUGGGGAAUAAUAGGGCUCUCGCAGCUGCUUAGCAGCUACGCUCGGGCCCUAAUAACUAGGGCCCCGUUGGGGCACUGGCGGGCCCGAGCCGUGUCGCACCCCCCCCCCCCCCCCCCCAACGCGCUGCCUCCCCGUCCCAUUCGUGUCCUCUGGCCAUCGCCCUCUCUGGUAACGCCCAUCACUGCAAAGACCCUUUUCCUUCAUCGGCGUUUGCUGUUCUUCCUGCCAGUGCGUGUUGCUUUCACUUACACUUGCCACAGCCAGCCUCGUGAGUGCCUAGCCUAUUGGAUAUCACUGUCACCUACACAGGACAGUCAUUACCUUUCUAUUAAUACUUUGUUUUUUAAUUUCACAUUAAUUUCCAUAUUGUAUAAACGACUGGAAAAAACUUGAGCCCCUGCCCCUGUAUUAUCAUGUGCACGUCCCUGUUCUAGCUCCAAGGUGAAUCUUCACUGCUCAUGUUCUCCUCAGAAGCAGUCACCUCACUCCCCUCAGGUUACUGUACACAUGCACCAACUGCCUGCUUCAGGUUUGGAUGGAGCUUCAUGGUUGUCUUUUGGAGAAAUGAGCAGUCAAGUCGUGUUUGAAAUUUGAUUUUUUUCAGGGGCAAAAGGAAGCCUCUGCAUUCUUGUCAAAUAUGUAAAUAGCACGUUUUUGCAGGUGCUAAAAAACAGACUCUGAGUGUGUGUGUGUGUGUGUGUGUGCGUGUGUGUGUGUGUGUCUGUGUGUGUGUGUGUGUGUAUCCUGCAGUACUCUGAGAAGAAUAAUAAGCAUAUUUCUGAGGUGAAUUUUGAAGAUUCAUCUGAGAGUUAGGUUUGAUUCGAUUCGAUUGACGCUCCCCAGCGUUCAAGUCACAUGACAUAUUUAAUGCUGCUACGGAUGUAGCUGCAAGACGGAGCCUCGUUAACUCUCCGUUUCAACUUAUCUCAAAAGUGAGGACCUUAACCUAUAUACCAGUUUUUAAAUUGUGUUGAUAGGCCAAAUAAAACCAGAGUUAUGAUAAAUUAUGUCCGCGAUACUUUUUUUCUGCUUAUUUUGAUCACGUUCGGCGCUCGAUCGCGCUGUAUGAGACAGGAAAACAUAGCAUGCAGACAUUAGCGACAGGUCUUACAGGCGGAAAAGGCUUGCCAAAAGAAAAAAAAAACACACUACAACAUCUCUCCUAUUGGUGGAAAACUUCACCACAACAACCAAUCCAAAAUUAUAUGGUGACUGAUUGACAAGGGGCGGGCGCUUACGUUCUUCCUGCAACAUGAGAAGGGAGGGAGGGACUCUCAGCAGGGAUGCAGUCUGGGACACGUAGUUGCAAACCUAGCGACUUUGUUGUUAGAUUCAAUGACUUUUCAGACCCCCUAACGACUUUUUUUUAGAAAGAAAGGGACUUUUAUCGACUUCUACUGGAGUUUAGAGACUCUGACAUGAAGCAGGCUUUCCUUACUGAGGAGUUAGCAACGCUGCUAAGGGUGCAGAGCCACACAUGCGCUCAGAGCUCUGCAUGGGAGACUGAAGCUGACAGAGCUGCAGCAGUUAGCAGGUUUCACCCUCAGAGACCACCAGGGGUUCAUGUUGAGGCAUUUUCAGUUUUUUUUUUUUUUGCCAUAGACUGUCAGCACAAUCUGCAGUUACACUAACAAAAAUGCUGCAAAAAACAAAGAAUUAUGGAAAAAUUACACAUGGACUGACAUAGAGGAGGAUCUACACAAGUUUUUUACAUCAUGUUUUACAUCAUGCAUCAUUUACAUCAUGUUUUUUUGUAGUGGCAUAAAUAAAAAGUGACAUUUGUGAGACUAUACAGUGUUUUGUAAAUAAUUUUACAAAGAACGCCUGGGCCAUUGCCUGCAUUUUGAUGUAAAUAGAGGUAAAUUACUAUGUUCUUUGUUAAAAAUUUGCAUAUGUUUUGAAGUUUACAAUUUUUAUUUGAAGUUUAAGUUUUAAAAACAGUUCAUCACACAUAUUUGUGGUUUAAUUUCACAUUAAUUUCCAUAUUGUAUAAAUGACUGGAAAAAACUUGAGCCCCUGCCCCUGUAUAAUCAUGUGCACGUCCCUGUUCUAGCUCCAAGGUGAAUCUUCACUGCUCAUGUUCUCCUCAGAAAUAGUCACCUCACUCCCCUCAGGUUACUGUACACAUGCACCAAUUAUCUGCUUCAGGUUUGAAAUGGAGCUUCAUGGUUGUCUUUUGGAGAAAUGAACAGUCAAGUUGUGUUUGAAAUUUGAUUUUUUUCAGGGGCAAAAGGAAGCCUCUGCAUUCUUGUCAAAUAUGUAAACAGCAUGUUUUUGCAGGUGCUAAAAAACAGACUCUGAGUGUGGGUGUGUGUCUGUGUGUGUGUGUGUGUGUGUGUGUGUGUGUGUGUAUGUUGGCGUGUGUGUAUAUGUGUGUGUAUCCUGCAGUACUCUGUACUCCUGCAGUGGCCAAAAAGACUUUUAAGAAUGUGGAUUUUUGGGUCAUCUUUGGCGCCCCCUAGAACUGCAGUACUCUGUACUCCUGCAGUGGCCAAAAUGACUUUUAAGAAUGUGGAUUUUUGGGUCAUCUUUGGCGCCCCCUAGAACGUAAACCGUGGGGUGCAGCGUCAUGAUUUUUACAACUUUGAAUGGGCAUGGGGUGUAGAUUGCCCUGAGCAAAUUUGGUAUCGGUGGGACGAAAGCCUUAGGAGGAGAUAGCCACAUUCCAAUGUGUGCGAAUCGGCAAAAAAUGCAAAAUAGCCCUUUAACCGUACAUUAUACAGAUACGCGCUCUUUGACUUUUUCGUAGAUCUAAUUGAGAUACACAUGAUUGUCAAUUUUUGUGUCAAUAUGACAAAGCGUUCAGGCGUGACACUCAACAAUGUGUAUUUUUAUGUAAGGGGACAAGAAAAAAUUGACUUUUUUCUCCUACCAUGGGGGGGCGCUCUUUUGGGGAGUAAAAAUUCCUUCACAAAUGUGUUGAUGGCUGGACAUUGCAUCAUCCUAGAAAACUUGGAGGCCAGUGAGGACAAAAAUAAAAAGUUAUAAAACAUUUAAGAAUGUGGAUUUUUGGGUUAUUUUUGGCGCCCCCUAGAACCUAAACCAUGGGGUGCAGCAUCAUGAUUUGAAUAACUUUUAAUGGCCAUGGGGUGUAGAUUGGCCUGAGCAAAUGUGGUGCCGGUGGAACGAAAGCCUUCGGAGGAGUUAGCGAAAUUCCAAUGUGUGCGUAUCGGCAAAAAAUGCGGAAUAACCCUUUAACUGUACAUUUGAUAGAUACGCGCGCAUGGACUUUUUUGUAGAUCUUAUUGAGUUACAUGUGUGUGUCAAUUUUUGUGUCAUUUUGACAAAGCGUAUAGGCGUGACACUCAACAAUGUGUAUUUUCACCUUAGGGGACAAGAAAAAAUGGACUUUUUUCUCCUGCCAUGGGGGGGCGCUCUUUUGGGGAGUAAAAAUUCCUUCACAAAUGUGUUGAUGGCUGGACAUUGCAUCAUCCUAGAAAACUUGGAGGCCAGUGAGGACAAAAAUAAAAAGUUAUAAGACUUUUAAAUAUGUGGAUUUUAGUGUUAUCUUUGGCGCCCCCUAGAACCUAAACCUUGGGGUGCAGCGUCAUGAUUUUGAUAACUUUUAAUGGCCAUGGGGUGUAGAUUGGCCUGAGCAAAUGUGGUGCCGGUGGAACGAAAGCCUUCGGAGGAGUUAGCGAAAUUCCAAUGUGUGCGGAUCGGCAAAAAAUGCGAAAUAACCCUUUAACCGUAAUUUUGACAGAUACGGCCGCACUGACUUUUUUGUAGAUCUUAUUGAGAUACAUAUGUGUGUCAAUUUUUGUGUCAAUAUGACAAAGCGUACAGGCGUGACAGUCAAUAGUGUGAAUUUCCACCUUAGGGGGCGCUAUGGAGCCAUUUUGCAUUUUAUUGUUUGGGCGACUUCAGAAUAUCGAAUUUUUCACCAGGCCCGGUCGUCCUGCCAAAUUUGAUGAGUUUUCGCCAGUGGGAAGUGGGCCAUUUUCCAGUUCAAAGGGGAGGAAAAAGAAGAAAGAAAGAAAGAAAGAAAGAAACAAAGAACUAGGACCCCGUUGGGGCACUGGCGGGCCCGAGCCGUGUCGCGUCCCCCCCCCCAACGUGCUGCCUCCCCGUCCCAUUUGUGUCCUCUGGCCAUCGCCCUCUCUGGUAACGCCCAUCACUGCAAAGACCCUUUUCCUUCAUCGGCGUUUGCUGUUCUUCCUGCCAGUGCGUGUUGCUUUCACUUACACUUGCCACAGCCAGCCUCGUGAGUGCCUAGCCUAUUGGAUAUCACUGUCACCUACACAGGACAGUCAUUACCUUUCUAUUAAUACUUUGUGUUUUAAUUUCACAUUAAUUUCCAUAUUGUAUAAACGACUGGAAAAACCUUGAGCCCCUGCCCCUGUAUAAUCAUGUGCAUGUCUCUGUUCUAGCUCCAAGGUGAAUCUUCACUGCUCAUGUUCUCCUCAGAAGCACUCACCUCACUCCCCUCAGGUUACUGUACACAUGCACCAACUGCCUGCUUCAGGUUUGGAUGGAGCUUCAUGGUUGUCUUUUGGAGAAAUGACCAGUCAAGUUGUGUUUGAAAUUUGAUUUUUUUCAGGGGCAAAAGGAGCCUCUGCAUUCUUGUCAAAUAUGUAAAUAGCAUGUUUUUGCAGGUGCUAAAAACCAGACUCUGAGUGUGUGUGUGUGUGUGUGUGUGUGUGUGUGUGUGUGUGUGUGUGUGUGCGUGUGUGUGUGUCUGUGUGUGCGUUCAAGUCACAUGACAUAUUUAACCGGAUGUAGCUGCAAGACGGAGCCUCGUUGACUCUCCGUUUCAACUUAUCUCAAAAGUGAGGACCUCAACCUAUAUACCAGUUUUUAAAUUGUGUUGAUAGGCCAAAUAAAACCAGAGUUAUGAUAAAUUAUGUCCGCGAUAUUUUUUUUCUGCUUAUUUUGAUCACGUUCGGCGCUCGAUCGCGCUGUAUGAGACAGGAAAACAUAGCAUGCAGACAUUAGCGACAGUUCUUACAGGCGGAAAAGGCUUGCCAAAAGAAAAAAAAAACACACCACAACAUCUCUCCUAUUGGUGGAAAACUUCACCACAACAACCAAUCCAAAAUUAUAUGGUGACUGAUUGACAAGGGGGGCGCUUACGUUCUUCCUGCAACAUGAGAAGGGAGGGAGGGACUCUCAGCAGGGAUGCAGUCUGGGACACGUAGUUGCAAACCUAGCGACUUUGUUGUUAGAUUCAAUGACUUUUCAGACCCCCUAACGACUUUUUUUUAGAAAGAAAGGGACUUUUAUCGACUUCUUCUGGAGUUUAGAGACUCUGACAUGAAGCAGGCUUUCCAUACUGAGGAGUUAGCAACGCUGCUAAGGGUGCAGAGCCACACAUGCGCUCAGAGCUCUGCAUGGGAGACUGAAGCUGACAGAGCUGCAGCAGUUAGCAGGUUUCACCCUCAGAGACCACCACGGGUUCAUGUUGAGGCAUUAAAAAUUUUUUUUUUUUUUGUGCUAUAGACACUGUCAGCACAAUCUGCAGUUACACUAACAAAAAUGCUGCAAAAAACAAAGAAUUAUGGAAAAAUUACACAUGGACUGACAUAGAGGAGGAUCUACACAAGUUUUUUACAUCAUGUUUUACAUCAUGCAUCAUUUACAUCAUGUUUUUUUGUAGUGGCAUAAAUAAAAAGUGACAUUUGUGAGACUAUACAGUGUUUUGUAAAUAAUUUUACAAAGAACGCCUGGGCCAUUGCCUGCAUUUUGAUGUAAAUAGAGGUAAAUUACUAUGUUCUUUGUUAAAAAUUUGCAUAUGUUUUGAAGUUUACAAUUUUUAUUUGAAGUUUAAGUUUUAAAAACAGUUCAUCACACAUAUUUGUGGUUUAAUUUCACAUUAAUUUCCAUAUUGUAUAAAUGACUGGAAAAAACUUGAGCCCCUGCCCCUGUAUAAUCAUGUGCACGUCCCUGUUCUAGCUCCAAGGUGAAUCUUCACUGCUCAUGUUCUCCUCAGAAAUAGUCACCUCACUCCCCUCAGGUUACUGUACACAUGCACCAACUAUCUGCUUCAGGUUUGAAAUGGAGCUUCAUGGUUGUCUUUUGGAGAAAUGAACAGUCAAGUUGUGUUUGAAAUUUGAUUUUUUUCAGGGGCAAAAGGAAGCCUCUGCAUUCUUGUCAAAUAUGUAAACAGCAUGUUUUUGCAGGUGCUAAAAAACAGACUCUGAGUGUGUGUGUGUGUCUGUGUGUGUGUGUGUGUGUGUGUGUGUGUGUGUAUGUUGGCGUGUGUGUAUAUGUGUGUGUAUCCUGCAGUACUCUGUACUCCUGCAGUGGCCAAAAAGACUUUUAAGAAUGUGGAUUUUUGGGUCAUCUUUGGCGCCCCCUAGAACUGCAGUACUCUGUACUCCUGCAGUGGCCAAAAUGACUUUUAAGAAUGUGGAUUUUUGGGUCAUCUUUGGCGCCCCCUAGAACGUAAACCGUGGGGUGCAGCGUCAUGAUUUUUACAACUUUGAAUGGGCAUGGGGUGUAGAUAGCCCUGAGCAAAUUUGGUAUCGGUGGGACGAAAGCCUUAGGAGGAGAUAGCCACAUUCCAAUGUGUGCGAAUCGGCAUAAAAUGCAAAAUAGCCCUUUAACCGUACAUUAUACAGAUACGCGCUCUUUGACUUUUUCGUAGAUCUAAUUGAGAUACACAUGAUUGUCAAAUUUUGUGUCAAUAUGACAAAGCGUUCAGGCGUGACACUCAACAAUGUGUAUUUUUAUGUAAGGGGACAAGAAAAAAUUGCCUUUUUUCUCCUACCAUGGGUGGGCGCUCUUUUGGGGAGUAAAAAUUCCUUCACAAAUGUGUUGAUGGCUGGACAUUGCAUCAUCCUAGAAAACUUGGAGGCCAGUGAGGACAGAAAUAAAAAGUUAUAAAACAUUUAAGAAUGUGGAUUUUUGGGUUAUCUUUGGCGCCCCCUAGAACCUAAACCAUGGGGUGCAGCAUCAUGAUUUGAAUAACUUUUAAUGGCCAUGGGGUGUAGAUUGGCCUGAGCAAAUGUGGUGCCGGUGGAACGAAAGCCUUCGGAGGAGUUAGCGAAAUUCCAAUGUGUGCGUAUCGGCAAAAAAUGCGGAAUAACCCUUUAACUGUACAUUUGACAGAUACGCGCGCACUGACUUUUUUGUAGAUCUUAUUGAGUUACAUGUGUGUGUCAAUUUUUGUGUCAUUUUGACAAAGCGUAUAGGCGUGACACUCAACAAUGUGUAUUUUCACCUUAGGGGACAAGAAAAAAUUGACUUUUUUCUCCUGCCAUGGGGGGGCGCUCUUUUGGGGAGUAAAAAUUCCUUCACAAAUGUGUUGAUGGCUGGACAUUGCAUCAUCCUAGAAAACUUGGAGGCCAGUGAGGACAAAAAUAAAAAGUUAUAAGACUUUUAAAAAUGUGGAUUUUAGGGUUAUCUUUGGCGCCCCCUAGAACCUAAACCUUGGGGUGCAGCGUCAUGAUUUUGAUAACUUUUAAUGGCCACGGGGUGUAGAUUGGCCUGAGCAAAUGUGGUGCCGGUGGAACGAAAGCCUUUGGAGGAGUUAGCGAAAUUCCAAUGUGUGCGGAUCGGCAAAAAAUGCGAAAUAACCCUUUAACCGUAAUUUUGACAGAUACGGCCGCACUGACUUUUUUGUAGAUCUUAUUGAGAUACAUAUGUGUGUCAAUUUUUGUGUCAUUUUGACAAAGCGUACAGGCGUGACAGUCAAUAGUGUGAAUUUCCACCUUAGGGGGCGCUAUGGAGCCAUUUUGCAUUUUAUUGUUUGGGCGACUUCAGAAUAUCGAAUUUUUCACCAGGCCCGGUCGUCCUGCCAAAUUUCAUGAGUUUUCGCCAGUGGGAAGUGGGCCAUUUUCCAGUUCAAAGGGGAGGAAAAAGAAGAAAGAAAGAAAGAACUAGGACCCCGUUCGGGCACUGGCGGGCCCGAGCUGUGUCGCGCCGCCCCCAACACGACCGCCUCUCCCUCCCGAUCGCGUCACACUCAAGGUCCAAAGAUGGUGUGCACACUUGUCUGUGGUCAUUUACCAUUAUAAUGAAUGGGAGGCGCAGUUUCUACCAAAACGCUCGCUGCAGACAAACUACAUGUCCUAUUUGAAAAAAGUCUGGACCAUGAGUGAGGGCACAAACACAGCUAGGAUAUAUCCAAAUGGCAAGUUUCUCCUCCUUUCGGUUUUGCCGAGAGAGCGAUGUGUUUGAGCCGUUGAGCGAUGGGCAGGAAAAACUUGACUUUUUCUCCUGCCAUGGGGGGGCACUCUUUUAGGGAGUAAAAAUUCCUUCACAAAUGUGUUGAUGGCUGGACAUUGCAUCAUCCUAGAAAACUUGGAGGCCAGUGAGGACAAAAAUAAAAAGUUAUAAGACUUUUAAAUAUGUGGAUUUUAGGGUUAUCUUUGGCGCCCCCUAGAACCUAAACCGUGGGGUGCAGCAUCAUGAUUUGAAUAACUUUUAAUGGCCAUGGGGUGUAGAUUGGCCUGAGCAAAUGUGGUGCCGGUGGAACAAAAGCCUUCGGAGGAGUUAGCGAAAUUCCAAUGUGUACGGAUCGCCAAAAAAUGCGAAAUAGCCCUUUAACCGUACAUUUGACAGAUACGCCCGCAUUGACUUUUUCGUAGAUAUUAUUGAGAUACACCUGUGUGCCAAAUUUUGUGUCAUUUUGACAAAGUGUAGAGGCGUGACACUGAACAAUGUGUAUUUUCACCUUAGGGGACAAGAAAAAAUGGACUUUUUUCUCCUGCCAUGGGGGGGCGCUCUUUUGGGGAGUAAAAAUUCCUUCACAAAUGUGUUGAUGGCUGGACAUUGCAUCAUCCUAGAAAACUUGGAGGCCAGUGAGGACAAAAAUAAAAAGUUAUAAGACUUUUAAAUAUGUGGAUUUUCGGGUUAUCUUUGGCGCCCCCUAGAACCUAAACCGUGGGGUGCAGCGUCAUGAUUUGAAUAACUUUUAAUGGCCAUGGGGUGUAGAUUGGCCUGAGCAAAUGUGGUGCCGGUGGAAUAAAAGCCUUCGGAGGAGUUAGCGAAAUUCCAAUGCGUACGGAUCGCCAAAAAAUGCGAAAUAGCCCUUUAACCGUACAUUUGACAGAUACGCCCGCAUUGACUUUUUUGUAGAUCUUAUUGAGACACACCUGUGUGCCAAAUUUUGUGUCAUUUUGACAAAGUGUAGAGGCGUGACACUCAACAAUGUGUAUUUUCACCUUAGGGGACAAGAAAAAAUGGACUUUUUUCUCCUGCCAUGGGGGGGCGCUCUUUUGGGGAGUAAAAAUUCCUUCACAAAUGUGUUGAUGGCUGGACAUUGCAUCAUCCUAGAAAACUUGGAGGCCAGUGAGGACAAAAAUAAAAAGUUAUAAGACUUUUAAAUAUGUGGAUUUUAGGGUUAUCUUUGGCGCCCCCUAGAACCUAAACCGUGGGGUGCAGCGUCAUGAUUUGAAUAACUUUUAAUGGCCAUGGGGUGUAGAUUGGCCUGAGCAAAUGUGGUGCCGGUGGAACAAAAGCCUUCGGAGGAGUUAGCGAAAUUCCAAUGUGUACGGAUCGCCAAAAAAUGCGAAAUAGCCCUUAAACCGUACAUUUGACAGAUACGCCCGCACUGACUUUUUUGUAGAUCUUAUUGAGAUACAUAUGUGUGUCAAAUUUUGUGUCAUUUUGACAAAGCGUACAGGCGUGACAGUCAAUAGUGUGAAUUUCCACCUUAGGGGGCGCUAUGGAGCCAUUUUGCAUUUUAUUGUUUGGGCGACUUCAGAAUAUCAAAUUUUUCACCAGGCCCGGUCGUCCUGCCAAAUUUCAUGAGUUUUCGCCAGUGGGAAGUGGGCCAUUUUCCAGUUCAAAGGGGAGGAAAAAUAAUAAUAAUAAUAAUAACAAAAGAAGGAAACAUGCAGGAACAAGAGGGCUCUCGCAGCUGCUUAGCAGCUACGCUCGGGCCCUAACUAGGACCCCGUUGGGGCACUGGCGGGCCCGAGCCGUGUCGCGUCUCCCCCCCCCCCACGUGCUGCCUCCCCGUCCCAUUUGUGUCCUCUGGCCAUCGCCCUCUCUGUUAACGCCCAUCACUGCAAAGACCCUUUUCCUUCAUCGGCGUUUGCUGUUCUUCCUGCCAGUGCGUGUUGCUUUCACUUACACUUGCCACAGCCAGCCUCGUGAGUGCCUAGCCUAUUGGAUAUCACUGUCACCUACACAGGACAGUCAUUACCUUUCUAUUAAUACUUUGUGUUUUAAUUUCACAUUAAUUUCCAUAUUGUAUAAACGACUGGAAAAAACUUGAGCCCCUGCCCCUGUAUAAUCAUGUGCAUGUCUCUGUUCUAGCUCCAAGGUGAAUCUUCACUGCUCAUGUUCUCCUCAGAAGCACUCACCUCACUCCCCUCAGGUUACUGUACACAUGCACCAACUGCCUGCUUCAGGUUUGGAUGGAGCUUCAUGGUUGUCUUUUGGAGAAAUGACCAGUCAAGUUGUGUUUGAAAUUUGAUUUUUUUCAGGGGCAAAAGGAGCCUCUGCAUUCUUGUCAAAUAUGUAAAUAGCAUGUUUUUGCAGGUGCUAAAAACCAGACUCUGAGUGUGUGUGUGUGUGUGUGUGUGUGUGUGCGUGUGUGUGUGUCUAUGUGUGCGUUCAAGUCACAUGACAUAUUUAACCGGAUGUAGCUGCAAGACGGAGCCUCGUUGACUCUCCGUUUCAACUUAUCUCAAAAGUGAGGACCUCAACCUAUAUACCAGUUUUUAAAUUGUGUUGAUAGGCCAAAUAAAACCAGAGUUAUGAUAAAUUAUGUCCGCGAUACUUGUUUUCUGCUUAUUUUGAUCACGUUCGGCGCUCGAUCGCGCUGUAUGAGACAGGAAAACAUAGCAUGCAGACAUUAGCGACAGGUCUUACAGGCGGAAAAGGCUUGCCAAAAGAAAAAAAAACCACACCACAACAUCUCUCCUAUUGGUGGAAAACUUCACCACAACAACCAAUUCAAAAUUAUAUGGUGACUGAUUGACAAGGGGCGGGCGCUUACGUUCUUCCUGCAACAUGAGAAGGGAGGGAGGGACUCUCAGCAGGGAUGCAGUCUGGGACACGUAGUUGCAAACCUAGCGACUUUGUUGUUAGAUUCAAUGACUUUUCAGACCCCCUAACGACUUUUUUUUAGAAAGAAAGGGACUUUUAUCGACUUCUUCUGGAGUUUAGAGACUCUGACAUGAAGCAGGCUUUCCUUACUGAGGAGUUAGCAACGCUGCUAAGGGUGCAGAGCCACACAUGCGCUCAGAGCUCUGCAUGGGAGACUGAAGCUGACAGAGCUGCAGCAGUUAGCAGGUUUCACCCUCAGAGACCACCAGGGGUUCAUGUUGAGGCAUUUUAAUUUUUUUUUUUUUUUUGUGCCAUAGACACUGUCAGCACAAUCUGCAGUUACACUAACAAAAAUGCUGCAAAAAACAAAGAAUUAUGGAAAAAUUACACAUGGACUAACAUAGAAGAGGAUCUACACAAGUUUUUUACAUCAUGUUUUACAUCAUGCAUCAUUUACAUCAUGUUUUUUUGUAGUGGCAUAAAUAAAAAGUGACAUUUGUGAGACUAUACAGUGUUUUGUAAAUAAUUUUACAAAGAACGCCUGGGCCAUUGCCUGCAUUUUGAUGUAAAUAGAGGUAAAUUACUAUGUUCUUUGUUAAAAAUUUGCAUAUGUUUUGAAGUUUACAAUUUUUAUUUGAAGUUUAAGUUUUAAAAACAGUUCAUCACACAUAUUUGUGGUUUAAUUUCACAUUAAUUUCCAUAUUGUAUAAAUGACUGGAAAAAACUUGAGCCCCUGCCCCUGUAUAAUCAUGUGCACGUCCCUGUUCUAGCUCCAAGGUGAAUCUUCACUGCUCAUGUUCUCCUCAGAAAUAGUCACCUCACUCCCCUCAGGUUACUGUACACAUGCACCAACUAUCUGCUUCAGGUUUGAAAUGGAGCUUCAUGGUUGUCUUUUGGAGAAAUGAACAGUCAAGUUGUGUUUGAAAUUUGAUUUUUUUCAGGGGCAAAAGGAAGCCUCUGCAUUCUUGUCAAAUAUGUAAACAGCAUGUUUUUGCAGGUGCUAAAAAACAGACUCUGAGUGUGUGUGUGUGUGUGUCUGUGUGUGUGUGUGUGUGUGUGUGUGUGUGUGUGUGUGUGUAUGUUGGCGUGUGUGUAUAUGUGUGUGUAUCCUGCAGUACUCUGUACUCCUGCAGUGGCCAAAAAGACUUUUAAGAAUGUGGAUUUUUGGGUCAUCUUUGGCGCCCCCUAGAACUGCAGUACUCUGUACUCCUGCAGUGGCCAAAAUGACUUUUAAGAAUGUGGAUUUUUGGGUCACCUUUGGCGCCCCCUAGAACGUAAACCGUGGGGUGCAGCGUCAUGAUUUUUACAACUUUGAAUGGGCAUGGGGUGUAGAUUGCCCUGAGCAAAUUUGGUAUCGGUGGGACGAAAGCCUUAGGAGGAGAUAGCCACAUUCCAAUGUGUGCGAAUCGGCAAAAAAUGCAAAAUAGCCCUUUAACCGUACAUUAUACAGAUACGCGCUCUUUGACUUUUUCGUAGAUCUAAUUGAGAUACACAUGAUUGUCAAUUUUUGUGUCAAUAUGACAAAGCGUUCAGGUGUGACACUCAGCAAUGUGUAUUUUCAUUUAAGGGGACAAGAAAAAAAUUGACUUUUUUCUCCUACCAUGGGGGGGCGCUCUUUUGGGGAGUAAAAAUUCCUUCACAAAUGUGUUGAUGGCUGGACAUUGCAUCAUCCUAGAAAACUUGGAGGCCAGUGAGGACAAAAAUAAAAAGUUAUAAAACAUUUAAGAAUGUGGAUUUUUGGGUUAUUUUUGGCGCCCCCUAGAACCUAAACCAUGGGGUGCAGCAUCAUGAUUUGAAUAACUUUUAAUGGCCAUGGGGUGUAGAUUGGCCUGAGCAAAUGUGGUGCCGGUGGAACGAAAGCCUUCGGAGGAGUUAGCGAAAUUCCAAUGUGUGCGUAUCGGCAAAAAAUGCGGAAUAACCCUUUAACUGUACAUUUGACAGAUACGCGCGCACGGACUUUUUUGUAGAUCUUCUUGAGAUACAUGUGUGUGUCAAUUUUUGUGUCAUUUUGACAAAGCGUAUAGGCGUGACACUCAACAAUGUGUAUUUUCACCUUAGGGGACAAGAAAAAAUGGACUUUUUUCUCCUGCCAUGGGGGGCGCUCUUUUGGGGAGUAAAAAUUCCUUCACAAAUGUGUUGAUGGCUGGACAUUGCAUCAUCCUAGAAAACUUGGAGGCCAGUGAGGACAAAAAUAAAAAGUUAUAAGACUUUUAAAUAUGUGGAUUUUAGUGUUAUCUUUGGCGCCCCCUAGAACCUAAACCUUGGGGUGCAGCGUCAUGAUUUUGAUAACUUUUAAUGGCCACGGGGUGUAGAUUGGCCUGAGCAAAUGUGGUGCCGGUGGAACGAAAGCCUUCGGAGGAGUUAGCGAAAUUCCAAUGUGUGCGGAUCGGCAAAAAAUGCGAAAUAACCCUUUAACCGUAAUUUUGACAGAUACGGCCGCACUGACUUUUUUGUAGAUCUUAUUGAGAUACAUAUGUGUGUCAAUUUUUGUGUCAAUAUGACAAAGCGUACAGGCGUGACAGUCAAUAGUGUGAAUUUCCACCUUAGGGGGCGCUAUGGAGCCAUUUUGCAUUUUAUUGUUUGGGCGACUUCAGAAUAUCGAAUUUUUCACCAGGCCCGGUCGUCCUGCCAAAUUUCAUGAGUUUUCGCCAGUGGGAAGUGGGCCAUUUUCCAGUUCAAAGGGGAGGAAAAAGAAGAAAGAAAGAAAGAAAGAAAGAAAGAAAGAAACAAAGAAAAACCACUUGGGGAAUAAUAGGGCCUACGCCCGGCUGCUCUGCAGCUGGCUCGGGCCCUAACUAGGACCCCGUUGGGGCACUGGCGGGCCCGAGCUGUGUCGCGUCCCCCCCCCCAACGCGCUGCCUCCCCGUCCCAUUUGUGUCCUCUGGCCAUCGCCCUCUCUGGUAACGCCCAUCACUGCAAAGACCCUUUUCCUUCAUCGGCGUUUGCUGUUCUUCCUGCCAGUGCGUGUUGCUUUCACUUACACUUGCCACAGCCAGCCUCGUGAGUGCCUAGCCUAUUCGAUAUCACUGUCACCUACACAGGACAGUCAUUACCUUUCUAUUAAUACUUUGUGUUUUAAUUUCACAUUAAUUUCCAUAUUUUAUAAACGACUGGAAAAAACUUGAGCCCCUGCCCCUGUAUAAUCAUGUGCAUGUCUCUGUUCUAGCUCCAAGGUGAAUCUUCACUGCUCAUGUUCUCCUCAGAAGCACUCACCUCACUCCCCUCAGGUUACUGUACACAUGCACCAACUGCCUGCUUCAGGUUUGGAUGGAGCUUCAUGGUUGUCUUUUGGAGAAAUGACCAGUCAAGUUGUGUUUGAAAUUUGAUUUUUUUCAGGGGCAAAAGGAGCCUCUGCAUUCUUGUCAAAUAUGUAAAUAGCAUGUUUUUGCAGGUGCUAAAAACCAGACUCUGAGUGUGUGUGUGUGUGUGUGUGUGUGUGUGUGUGUGUGUGUGUGUGUGUGUGUCUGUGUGUGCGUUCAAGUCACAUGACAUAUUUAACCGGAUGUAGCUGCAAGACGGAGCCUCGUUGACUCUCCGUUUCAACUUAUCUCAAAAGUGAGGACCUCAACCUAUAUACCAGUUUUUAAAUUGUGUUGAUAGGCCAAAUAAAACCAGAGUUAUGAUAAAUUAUGUCCGCGAUACUUUUUUUCUGCUUAUUUUGAUCACGUUCGGCGCUCAAUCGCGCUGUAUGAGACAGGAAAACAUAGCAUGCAGACAUUAGCGACAGGUCUUACAGGCGGAAAAGGCUUGCCAAAAAAAAAAAACACACCACAACAUCUCUCCUAUUGGUGGAAAACUUCACCACAACAACCAAUCCAAAAUUAUAUGGUGACUGAUUGACAAGGGGCGGGCGCUUACGUUCUUCCUGCAACAUGAGAAGGGAGGGAGGGACUCUCAGCAGGGAUGCAGUCUGGGACACGUAGUUGCAAACCUAGCGACUUUGUUGUUAGAUUCAAUGACUUUUCAGACCCCCUAACGACUUUUUUUUAGAAAGAAAGGGACUUUUAUCGACUUCUUCUGGAGUUUAGAGACUCUGACAUGAAGCAGGCUUUCCUUACUGAGGAGUUAGCAACGCUGCUAAGGGUGCAGAGCCACACAUGCGCUCAGAGCUCUGCAUGGGAGACUGAAGCUGACAGAGCUGCAGCAGUUAGCAGGUUUCACCCUCAGAGACCACCAGGGGUUCAUGUUGAGGCAUUUUAAUUUUUUUUUUUUUUUUGUGCCAUAGACACUGUCAGCACAAUCUGCAGUUACACUAACAAAAAUGCUGCAAAAAACAAAGAAUUAUGGAAAAAUUACACAUGGACUGACAUAGAGGAGGAUCUACACAAGUUUUUUACAUCAUGUUUUACAUCAUGCAUCAUUUACAUCAUGUUUUUUUGUAGUGGCAUAAAUAAAAAGUGACAUUUGUGAGACUAUACAGUGUUUUGUAAAUAAUUUUACAAAGAACGCCUGGGCCAUUGCCUGCAUUUUGAUGUAAAUAGAGGUAAAUUACUAUGUUCUUUGUUAAAAAUUUGCAUAUGUUUUGAAGUUUACAAUUUUUAUUUGAAGUUUAAGUUUUAAAAACAGUUCAUCACACAUAUUUGUGGUUUAAUUUCACAUUAAUUUCCAUAUUGUAUAAAUGACUGGAAAAAACUUGAGCCCCUGCCCCUGUAUAAUCAUGUGCACGUCCCUGUUCUAGCUCCAAGGUGAAUCUUCACUGCUCAUGUUCUCCUCAGAAAUAGUCACCUCACUCCCCUCAGGUUACUGUACACAUGCACCAACUAUCUGCUUCAGGUUUGAAAUGGAGCUUCAUGGUUGUCUUUUGGAGAAAUGAACAGUCAAGUUGUGUUUGAAAUUUGAUUUUUUUUCAGGGGCAAAAGGAAGCCUCUGCAUUCUUGUCAAAUAUGUAAACAGCAUGUUUUUGCAGGUGCUAAAAAACAGACUCUGAGUGUGUGUGUGUGUCUGUGUGUGUGUGUGUGUGUGUGUGUGUGUGUGUGUGUGUGUGUGUGUGUGUGUGUGUGUGUGUAUGUUGGCGUGUGUGUAUAUGUGUGUGUAUCCUGCAGUACUCUGUACUCCUGCAGUGGCCAAAAAGACUUUUAAGAAUGUGGAUUUUUGGGUCAUCUUUGGCGCCCCCUAGAACUGCAGUACUCUGUACUCCUGCAGUGGCCAAAAUGACUUUUAAGAAUGUGGAUUUUUGGGUCAUCUUUGGCGCCCCCUAGAACGUAAACCGUGGGGUGCAGCGUCAUGAUUUUUACAACUUUGAAUGGGCAUGGGGUGUAGAUUGCCCUGAGCAAAUUUGGUAUCGGUGGGACGAAAGCCUUAGGAGGAGAUAGCCACAUUCCAAUGUGUGCGAAUCGGCAAAAAAUGCAAAAUAGCCCUUUAACCGUACAUUAUACAGAUACGCGCUCUUUGACUUUUUCGUAGAUCUAAUUGAGAUACACAUGAUUGUCAAUUUUUGUGUCAUUUUGACAAAGCGUUCAGGCGUGACACUCAACAAUGUGUAUUUUUAUGUAAGGGGACAAGAAAAAAAUUGACUUUUUUCUCCUACCAUGGGGGGGGCGCUCUUUUGGGGAGUAAAAAUUCCUUCACAAAUGUGUUGAUGGCUGGACAUUGCAUCAUCCUAGAAAACUUGGAGGCCAGUGAGGACAAAAAUAAAAAGUUAUAAAACAUUUAAGAAUGUGGAUUUUUGGGUUAUUUUUGGCGCCCCCUAGAACCUAAACCAUGGGGUGCAGCAUCAUGGUUUGAAUAACUUUUAAUGGCCAUGGGGUGUAGAUUGGCCUGAGCAAAUGUGGUGCCGGUGGAACGAAAGCCUUCGGAGGAGUUAGCGAAAUUCCAAUGUGUGCGGAUCGGCAAAAAAUGCGGAAUAACCCUUUAACCGUACAUUUGACAGAUACGCGCGCAUUGACUUUUUCGUAGAUCUUAUUGAGAUACAUGUGUGUGUCAAUUUUUGUGUCAUUUUGCCAAAGCGUACAGGUGUUACACUCAACAAUGUGUAUUUUCACCUUAGGGGACAAGAAAAAAUGGACUUUUUUCUCCUGCCAUGGGGGGGCGCUCUUUUGGGGAGUAAAAAUUCCUUCACAAAUGUGUUGAUGGCUGGACAUUGCAUCAUCCUAGAAAACUUGGAGGCCAGUGAGGGCAAAAAUAAAAAGUUAUAAGACUUUUAAAUAUGUGGAUCUUAGGGUUAUCUUUGGCGCCCCCUAGAACCUAAACCGUGGGGUGCAGCGUCAUGAUUUGAAUAACUUUUAAUGGCCAUGGGGUGUAGAUUGGCCUGAGCAAAUGUGGUGCCUGUGGAACGAAAGCCUUCGGAGGAGUUAGCGAAAUUCCAAUGUGUGCGGAUCGGCAAAAAAUGCGAAAUAACCCUUUAACCGUACAUUUGACAGAUACGCCCGCACUGACUUUUUUGUAGAUCUUAUUGAGAUACAUGUGUGUGUCAAUUUUUGUGUCAUUUUGACAAAGCGUACAGGCGUGACAGUCAAUAGUGUGAAUUUUCACCUUAGGGGGCGCUAUGGAGCCAUUUUGCAUUUUCUUGUUUGGGCGACUUCGGAAUAUCAAAUUUUUCACCAGGCCCGGUCGUCCUGCCAAAUUUCAUGAGUUUUCGCCAGUGGGAAGUGGGCCAUUUUCCAGUUCAAAGGGGAGGAAAAAUAAUAAUAACAAAAGAAGGAAACUACAGGAACAAGAGGGCUCUCGCAGCUGCUUAGCAGCUACGCUCGGGCCCUAACUAGGACCCCGUUGGGGCACUGGCGGGCCCGAGCUCCCCCCCCCCAACGCGACCGCCUCCCCGUCCCAUUUGUGUCCUCUGGCCAUCGCCCUCUCUGGUAACGCCCAUCACUGCAAAGACCCUUUUCCUUCAUCGGCGUUUGCUGUUCUUCCUGCCAGUGCGUGUUGCUUUCACUUACACUUGCCACAGCCAGCCUCGUGAGUGCCUAGCCUAUUCGAUAUCACUGUCACCUACACAGGACAGUCAUUACCUUUCUAUUAAUACUUUGUGUUUUAAUUUCACAUUAAUUUCCAUAUUGUAUAAACGACUGGAAAAAACUUGAGCCCCUGCCCCUGUAUAAUCAUGUGCACGUCUCUGUUCUAGCUCCAAGGUGAAUCUUCACUGCUCAUGUUCUCCUCAGAAGCACUCACCUCACUCCCCUCAGGUUACUGUACACAUGCACCAACUGCCUGCUUCAGGUUUGGAUGGAGCUUCAUGGUUGUCUUUUGGAGAAAUGACCAGUCAAUUUGUGUUUGAAAUUUGAUUUUUUUCAGGGGCAAAAGGAGCCUCUGCAUUCUUGUCAAAUAUGUAAAUAGCAUGUUUUUGCAGGUGCUAAAAACCAGACUCUGAGUGUGUGUGUGUGUGUGUGUGUGUGCGUGUGUGUGUGUGUGCGUGUGUGUGCGUUCAAGUCACAUGACAUAUUUAACCGGAUGUAGCUGCAAGACGGAGCCUCGUUGACUCUCUGUUUCAACUUAUCUCAAAAGUGAGGACCUCAACCUAUAUACCAGUUUUUAAAUUGUGUUGAUAGGCCAAAUAAAACCAGAGUUAUGAUAAAUUAUGUCCGCGAUACUUUUUUUCUGCUUAUUUUGAUCACGUUCGGCGCUCGAUCGCGCUGUAUGAGACAGGAAAACAUAGCAUGCAGACAUUAGCGACAGGUCUUACAGGCGGAAAAGGCUUGCCAAAAGAAAAAAAAAACACACCACAACAUCUCUCCUAUUGGUGGAAAACUUCACCACAACAACCAAUCCAAAAUUAUAUGGUGACUGAUUGACAAGGGGAGGGCGCUUACGUUCUUCCUGCAACAUGAGAAGGGAGGGAGGGACUCUCAGCAGGGAUGCAGUCUGGGACACGUAGUUGCAAACCUAGCGACUUUGUUGUUAGAUUCAAUGACUUUUCAGACCCCCUAACGACUUUUUUUUAGAAAGAAAGUGACUUUUAUCGACUUCUUCUGGAGUUUAGAGACUCUGACAUGAAGCAGGCUUUCCUUACUGAGGAGUUAGCAACGCUGCUAAGGGUGCAGAGCCACACAUGCGCUCAGAGCUCUGCAUGGGAGACUGAAGCUGACAGAGCUGCAGCAGUUAGCAGGUUUCACCCUCAGAGACCACCAGGGGUUCAUGUUGAGGCAUUUUAAUUUUUUUUUUUUUUUUUGUGCCAUAGACACUGUCAGCACAAUCUGCAGUUACACUAACAAAAAUGCUGCAAAAAACAAAGAAUUAUGGAAAAAUUACACAUGGACUGACAUAGAGGAGGAUCUACACAAGUUUUUUACAUCAUGUUUUACAUCAUGCAUCAUUUACAUCAUGUUUUUUUGUAGUGGCAUAAAUAAAAAGUGACAUUUGUGAGACUAUACAGUGUUUUGUAAAUAAUUUUACAAAGAACGCCUGGGCCAUUGCCUGCAUUUUGAUGUAAAUAGAGGUAAAUCACUAUGUUCUUUGUUAAAAAUUUGCAUAUGUUUUGAAGUUUACAAUUUUUAUUUGAAGUUUAAGUUUUAAAAACAGUUCAUCACACAUAUUUGUGGUUUAAUUUCACAUUAAUUUCCAUAUUGUAUAAAUGACUGGAAAAAACUUGAGCCCCUGCCCCUGUAUAAUCAUGUGCACGUCCCUGUUCUAGCUCCAAGGUGAAUCUUCACUGCUCAUGUUCUCCUCAGAAAUAGUCACCUCACUCCCCUCAGGUUACUGUACACAUGCACCAACUAUCUGCUUCAGGUUUGAAAUGGAGCUUCAUGGUUGUCUUUUGGAGAAAUGAACAGUCAAGUUGUGUUUGAAAUUUGAUUUUUUUCAGGGGCAAAAGGAAGCCUCUGCAUUCUUGUCAAAUAUGUAAAUAGCAUGUUUUUGCAGGUGCUAAAAACCAGACUCUGAGUGUGUGUGUGUGUGUGUCUGUGUGUGUCUGUGUGUGUGUGUGUGUGUGUGUGUGUGUGUGUGUGUAUGUUGGCGUGUGUGUAUAUGUGUGUGUAUCCUGCAGUACUCUGUACUCCUGCAGUGGCCAAAAAGACUUUUAAGAAUGUGGAUUUUUGGGUCAUCUUUGGCGCCCCCUAGAACUGCAGUACUCUGUACUCCUGCAGUGGCCAAAAUGACUUUUAAGAAUGUGGAUUUUUGGGUCAUCUUUGGCGCCCCCUAGAACGUAAACCGUGGGGUGCAGCGUCAUGAUUUUUACAACUUUGAAUGGCCAUGGGGUGUAGAUUGGCCUGAGCAAAUUUGGUGUCAGUGGGACGAAAGCCUUAGGAGGAGUUAGCCACAUUCCAAUGUGUGCGAAUCGGCAAAAAAUGCAAAAUAGCCCUUUAACCGUACAUUUGACAGAUACGCCCGAAUCGACUCUUUUGUAGAUCUUAUUGAGAUACAUAUGUGUGUCAAUUUUUGUGUCAAUAUGAUAAAGCGUACAGGCGUGACAGUCAAUAGUGUGAAUUUCCACCUUAGGGGACAAGAAAAAAUUGGCUUUUUUUCCUGCCAUGGGGGGGCGCUCUUUUGGGGAGUAAAAAUUCCUUCACAAAUGUGUUGAUGGCUGGACAUUGCAUCAUCCUAGAAAACUUGGAGGCCAGUGAGGACAAAAAUAAAAAGUUAUAAGACUUUUAAAUAUGUGGAUUUUAGGGUUAUCUUUGGCGCCCCCUAGAACCUAAACCGUGGGAUGCAGCGUCAUGAUUUGAAUAACUUUUAAUGGCCAUGGGGUGUAGAUUGGCCUGAGCAAAUGUGGUGCCGGUGGAACGAAAGCCUUCGGAGGAGUUAGCGAAAUUCCAAUGUGUGCGGAUCGGCAAAAAAUGCGGAAUAACCCUUUAACCGUACAUUUGACAGAUACGCGCGCAUUGACUUUUUCGUAGAUCUUAUUGAGAUACAUGUGUGUGUCAAUUUUUGUGUCAUUUUGCCAAAGCGUACAGGUGUUACACUCAACAAUGUGUAUUUUCACCUUAGGGGACAAGAAAAAAUGGACUUUUUUCUCCUGCCAUGGGGGGCGCUCUUUUGGGGAGUAAAAAUUCCUUCACAAAUGUGUUGAUGGCUGGACAUUGCAUCAUCCUAGAAAACUUGGAGGCCAGUGAGGGCAAAAAUAAAAAGUUAUAAGACUUUUAAAUAUGUGGAUUUUAGGGUUAUCUUUGGCGCCCCCUAGAACCUAAACCGUGGGGUGCAGCGUCAUGAUUUGAAUAACUUUUAAUGGCCAUGGGGUGUAGAUUGGCCUGAGCAAAUGUGGUGCCGGUGGAACGAAAGCCUUCGGAGGAGUUAGCGAAAUUCCAAUGUGUGCGGAUCGGCAAAAAAUGCGAAAUAACCCUUUAACCGUACAUUUGACAGAUACGCCCGCACUGACUUUUUUGUAGAUCUUAUUGAGAUACAUGUGUGUGUCAAUUUUUGUGUCAUUUUGACAAAGCGUACAGGCGUGACAGUCAAUAGUGUGAAUUUUCACCUUAGGGGGCGCUAUGGAGCCAUUUUGCAUUUUCUUGUUUGGGCGACUUCGGAAUAUCAAAUUUUUCACCAGGCCCGGUCGUCCUGCCAAAUUUCAUGAGUUUUCGCCAGUGGGAAGUGGGCCAUUUUCCAGUUCAAAGGGGAGGAAAAAUAAUAAUAACAAAAGAAGGAAACUACAGGAACAAGAGGGCUCUCGCAGCUGCUUAGCAGCUACGCUCGGGCCCUAACUAGGACCCCGUUGGGGCACUGGCGGGCCCGAGCUGUGUCACGUCCCCCCCCCAACGCGCUGCCUCCCCGUCCCAUUUGUGUCCUCUGGCCAUCGCCCUCUUUGGUAACGCCCAUCACUGCAAAGACCCUUUUCCUUCAUCGGCGUUUGCUGUUCUUCCUGCCAGUGCGUGUUGCUUUCACUUACACUUGCCACAGCCAGCCUCGUGAGUGCCUAGCCUAUUGGAUAUCACUGUCACCUACACAGGACAGUCAUUACCUUUCUAUUGAUACUUUGUUUUUUAAUUUCACAUGGAUGGAGCUUCAUGGUUGUCUUUUGGAGAAAUGACCAGUCAAGUUGUGUUUGAAAUUUGAUUUUUUUCAGGGGCAAAAGGAGCCUCUGCAUUCUUGUCAAAUAUGUAAAUAGCAUGUUUUUGCAGGUGCUACAAACCAGACUCUGAGUGUGUGUGUGUGCGUGUGUGUGUGUGUCUGUGUGUGUGUGUGUGUGUGCGUUCAAGUCACAUGACAUAUUUAACCGGAUGUAGCUGCAAGACGGAGCCUCGUUGACUCUCCGUUUCAAUUUAUCUCAAAAGUGAGGACCUCAACCUAUAUACCAGUUUUUAAAUUGUGUUGAUAGGCCAAAUAAAACCAGAGUUAUGAUAAAUUAUGUCCGCGAUACUUGUUUUCUGCUUAUUUUGAUCACGUUCGGCGCUCGAUCGCGCUGUAUGAGACAGGAAAACAUAGCAUGCAGACAUUAGCGACAGGUCUUACAGGCGGAAAAGGCUUGCCAAAAGAAAAAAAAUACACACCACAACAUCUCUCCUAUUGGUGGAAAACUUCACCACAACAACCAAUCCAAAAUUAUAUGGUGACUGAUUGACAAGGGGCGGGAACUUACGUUCUUCCUGCAAUAUGAGAAGGGAGGGAGGGACUCUCAGCAGGGAUGCAGUCUGGGACACGUAGUUGCAAACCUAGCGACUUUGUUGUUAGAUUCAAUGACUUUUCAGACCCCCUAACGACUUUUUUUUAGAAAGAAAGUGAUUUUAUCGACUUCUUCUGGAGUUUAGAGACUCUGACAUGAAGCAGGCUUUCCUUACUGAGGAGUUAGCAACGCUGCUAAGGGUGCAGAGCCACACAUGCGCUCCGAGCUCUGCAUGGGAGACUGAAGCUGACAGAGCUGCAGCAGUUAGCAGGUUUCACCCUCAGAGACCACCAGGGGUUCAUGUUGAGGCAUUUUCAGUUUUUUUUUUUUUUUUUUUGCCAUAGACACUGUCAGCACAAUCUGCAGUUACACUAACAAAAAUGCUGCAAAAAACAAAGAAUUAUGGAAAAAUUACACAUGGACUAACAUAGAGGAGGAUCUACACAAGUUUUUUACAUCAUGUUUUACAUCAUGCAUCAUUUACAUCAUGUUUUUUUGUAGUGGCAUAAAUAAAAAGUGACAUUUGUGAGACUAUACAGUGUUUUGUAAAUAAUUUUACAAAGAACACCUGGGCCAUUGCCUGCAUUUUGAUGUCAAUAGAGGUAAAUUACUAUGUUCUUUGUUAAAAAUUUGCAUAUGUUUUGAAGUUUACAAUUUUUAUUUGAAGUUUAAGUUUUAAAAACAGUUCAUCACACAUAUUUGUGGUUUUCACAGUAAAAACGUUACUUUUUUCCACUCGGAUUUUAUGUUUUGUGUGUGAAUUUGGGUCCAAUGUGUAAAUAUAGUAUGUCAAAAUGAUAAAAUAACUGUAAAUUGACACAGGUGAGGUUGUGCUGAAAAAAAUGAUACCAGGCAAGGCAAGGUAAAAAUUUUGUAAGAGGAAAUAUAAAGGUAAAAUCUAAAGUAGUCAAAAACGGCCAAUAGUGACUCACAGACUCCACAGACAAGCCCCUUUGGCGCCACUCAGUGGGCAAAACUACUUUGUCUACUGUAAUGUAUAUUUGGGUCAUCUUUGGCGCCCCCUAAAACGUAAACCGUGGGGUGCAGCGUCAUGAUUUUUACAACUUUGAAUGGCCAUGGAGUGUAGAUUGGCCUGAGCAAAUUUGGUGUCAGUGGGACGAAAGCCUUAGGAGGAGUUAGCGAAAUUCCAAUGUGUGCGAAUCGGCAAAAAAUGCAAAAUAGCCCUUUUACCGUACAUUAUACAGAUAUGCGCUCUUUGACUUUUUCGUAGAUCUAAUUGAGAUACACAUGAUUGUCAAUUUUUGUGUCAUUUUGCCAAAGCGUACAGGCGUGACAGUCAACAAUGUGUAUUUUCACCUUAGGGGACAAGAAAAAAUGGACUUUUUUCUCCUGCCAUGGGGGGCGCUCUUUUAGGGAGUAAAAAUUCCUUCACAAAUGUGUUGAUGGCUGGACAUUGCAUCAUCCUAGAAAACUUGGAGGCCAGUGAGGACAAAAAUAAAAAGUUAUAAGACUUUUAAAAAUGUGGAUUUUUGGGUUAUCUUCGGCGCCCCCUAGAACGUAAACCGUGGGGUGCAGCGUCAUGAUUUGAAUAACUUUUAAUGGCCAUGGGGUGUAGAUUGGCCUGAGCAAAUGUGGUGCCGGUGGAACGAGAAAGCCUUCGGAGGAGUUAGCGAAAUUCCAAUGUGUGCGGAUCGGCAAAAAAUGCGAAAUAACCCUUUAACCGUACAUUGAAGGAUACGCGCGAUUGGACUUUUUCGUAGAUCUUAUUGAGAUACAUGUGUGUGUCAAUUUUUGUGUCAUUUUGACAAAGCGUACAGGCGUGACAGUCAAUAGUGUGAAUUUUCACCUUAGGAGACAAGAAAAAAUGGACUUUUUUCUCCUGCCAUGGGGGGCGCUCUUUUGGGGAGUAAAAAUUCCUUCACAAAUGUGUUGAUGGCUGGACAUUGCAUCAUCCUAGAAAACUUGGAGGCCAGUGAGGGCAAAAAUAAAAAGUUAUAAGACUUUUAAAUAUGUGGAUUUCAGGGUUAUCUUUGGCGCCCCCUAGAACCUAAACCGUGGGGUGCAGCGUCAUGAUUUGAAUAACUUUUAAUGGCCAUGGGGUGUAGAUUGGCCUGAGCAAAUGUGGUGCCGGUGGAACGAAAGCCUUCGGAGGAGUUAGCGAAAUUCCAAUGUGUGCAGAUCGGCAAAAAAUGCGAAAUAACCCUUUAACCGUACAUUUGACAGAUACGCCCGCACUGACUUUUUUGUAGAUCUUAUGAGAUACAUGUGUGUGUCAAUUUUUGUGUCAUUUUGACAAAACGUACAGGCGUGACAGUCAAUAGUGUGAAUUUUCACCUUAGGGGGCGCUAUGGAGCCAUUUUGCAUUUUCUUGUUUGGGCGACUUCGGAAUAUCAAAUUUUUCACCAGGCCCGGUCGUCCUGCCAAAUUUCAUGAGUUUUCGCCAGUGGGAAGUGGGCCAUUUUCCAGUUCAAAGGGGAGGAAAAAUAAUAAUAACUAGGACCCCGUUGGGGCACUGGCGGGCCCGAGCCGUGUCGCGUCCCCCCCCCCAACGUGCUGCCUCCCCGUCCCAUUUGUGUCCUCUGGCCAUCGCCCUCUCUGGUAACGCCCAUCACUGCAAAGACCCUUUUCCUUCAUCUGCGUUUGCUGUUCUUCCUGCCAGUGCGUGUUGCUUUCACUUACACUUGCCACAGCCAGCCUCGUGAGUGCCUAGCCUAUUGGAUAUCACUGUCACCUACACAGGACAGUCAUUACCUUUCUAUUAAUACUUUGUGUUUUAAUUUCACAUUAAUUUCCAUAUUGUAUAAACGACUGGAAAAAACUUGAGCCCCUGCCCCUGUAUAAUCAUGUGCAUGUCUCUGUUCUAGCUCCAAGGUGAAUCUUCACUGCUCAUGUUCUCCUCAGAAGCACUCACCUCACUCCCCUCAGGUUACUGUACACAUGCACCAACUGCCUGCUUCAGGUUUGGAUGGAGCUUCAUGGUUGUCUUUUGGAGAAAUUACCAGUCAAGUUGUGUUUGAAAUUUGAUUUUUUUCAGGGGCAAAAGGAGCCUCUGCAUUCUUGUCAAAUAUGUAAAUAGCAUGUUUUUGCAGGUGCUAAAAACCAGACUCUGAGUGUGUGUGUGUGUGUGUGUGUGUGUGUGUGUGUGUGUGUGUGUGUGUGUGUGUGUGUGUGUGUCUGUGUGUGCGUUCAAGUCACAUGACAUAUUUAACCGGAUGUAGCUGCAAGACGGAGCCUCGUUGACUCUCCGUUUCAACUUAUCUCAAAAGUGAGGACCUCAAGCUAUAUACCAGUUUUUAAAUUGUGUUGAUAGGCCAAAUAAAACCAGAGUUAUGAUAAAUUAUGUCCGCAAUACUUUUUUUCUGCUUAUUUUGAUCACGUUCGGCGCUCGAUCGCGCUGUAUGAGACAGGAAAACAUAGCAUGCAGACAUUAGCGACAGCUCUUACAGGCGGAAAAGGCUUGCCAAAAGAAAAAAAAAACACACCACAACAUCUCUCCUAUUGGUGGAAAACUUCACCACAACAACCAACCCAAAAUUAUAUGGUGACUGAUUGACAAGGGGCGGGCGCUUACAUUCUUCCUGCAACAUGAGAAGGGAGGGAGGGACUCUCAGCAGGGAUGCAGUCUGGGACACGUAGUUGCAAACCUAGCGACUUUGUUGUUAGAUUCAAUGACUUUUCAGACCCCCUAACGACUUUUUUUUUAGAAAGAAAGGGACUUUUAUCGACUUCUUCUGGAGUUUAGAGACUCUGACAUGAAGCAGGCUUUCCUUACUGAGGAGUUAGCAACGCUGCUAAGGGUGCAGAGCCACACAUGCGCUCCGAGCUCUGCAUGGGAGACUGAAGCUGACAGAGCUGCAGCAGUUAGCAGGUUUCACCCUCAGAGACCACCAGGGGUUCAUGUUGAGGCAUUUUAAUUAUUUUUUUUUUUUUUGUGCCAUAGACACUGUCAGCACAAUCUGCAGUUACACUAACAAAAAUGCUGCAAAAAACAAAGAAUUAUGGAAAAAUUACACAUGGACUGACAUAGAGGAGGAUCUACACAAGUUUUUUACAUCAUGUUUUACAUCAUGCAUCAUUUACAUCAUGUUUUUUUGUAGUGGCAUAAAUAAAAAGUGACAUUUGUGAGACUAUACAGUGUUUUGUAAAUAAUUUUACAAAGAACGCCUGGGCCAUUGCCUGCAUUUUGAUGUAAAUAGAGGUAAAUUACUAUGUUCUUUGUUAAAAAUUUGCAUAUGUUUUGAAGUUUACAAUUUUUAUUUGAAGUUUAAGUUUUAAAAACAGUUCAUCACACAUAUUUGUGGUUUUCACAGUAAAAAUGUUACUUUUUUCCACUCGGAUUUUAUGUUUUGUGUGUGAAUUUGGGUCCAUUGUGUAAAUUCAGUAUGUCAACAUGAUAAAAUAACUGUAAAUUCGCACAGGUGAGGUUGUGCUGAAAAAAAUGAUACCAGGCAAGGCACGUGAUUGUCAAAUGUUGUGUCAAUAUGACAAAGCGUAUAGGCGUGAAUCUCAACAAUAUGUAUUUUCACCUUAAGGGACAAGAAAAAAUGGACUUUUUUCUCCUGCCAUGGGGGGGCGCUCUUUUGGGGAGUAAAAAUUCCUUCACAAAUGUGUUGAUGGCUGGACAUUGCAUCAUCCUAGAAAACUUGGAGGCCAGUGAGGACAAAAAUAAAAAGUUAUAAGACUUUUAAAUAUGUGGAUUUUAGGGUUAUCUUUGGCGCCCCCUAGAACCUAAACCGUGGGGUGCAGCGUCAUGAUUUUGAUAACUUUUAAUGGCCAUGGGGUGUAGAUUGGCCUGAGCAAAUGUGGUGCCGGUGGAACGAAAGCCUUAGGAGGAGUUAGCGAAAUUCCAAUGUGUGCGGAUCGGCAAAAAAUGCGGAAUAACCCUUUAACCGUACAUUUGACAGAUAUGCGCGCAUUGACUUUUUCGUAGAUCUUAUUGAGUUACAUGUGUGUGUCAAUUUUUGUGUCAUUUUGACAAAGCGUAUAGGCGUGACACUCAACAAUGUGUAUUUUCACCUUAGGGGACAAGAAAAAAUGGACUUUUUUCUCCUGCCAUGGGGGGGCGCUCUUUUGGGGAGUAAAAAUUCCUUCACAAAUGUGUUGAUGGCUGGACAUUGCAUCAUCCUAGAAAACUUGGAGGCCAGUGAGGACAAAAAUAAAAAGUUAUAAGACUUUUAAAUAUGUGGAUUUUAGGGUUAUCUUUGGCGCCCCCUAGAACCUAAACCGUGGGGUGCAGCGUCAUGAUUUUGAUAACUUUUAAUGGCCAUGGGGUGUAGAUUGGCCUGAGCAAAUGUGGUGCCGGUGGAACGAAAGCCUUAGAGGAGUUAGCGAAAUUCCAAUGUGUGCGGAUCGGCAAAAAAUGCGGAAUAACCCUUUAACCGUACAUUUGACAGAUACGCCCGCACUGACUUUUUUGUAGAUCUUAUUGAGAUACAUGUGUGUGUCAAUUUUUGUGUCAUUUUGACAAAGCGUACAGGCGUGACAGUCAAUAGUGUGAAUUUUCACCUUAGGGGGCGCUAUGGAGCCAUUUUGCAUUUUCUUGUUUGGGCGACUUUGGAAUAUCAAAUUUUUCACCAGGCCCGGUCGUCCUGCCAAAUUUCCUGAGUUUUCGCCAGUGGGAAGUGGGCCAUUUUCCAGUUCAAAGGGGAGGAAAAAGAAGAAAGAAAGAAACAAAGACUAGGACCCCGUUGGGGCACUGGCGGGCCCGAGCCGUGUCGCGUCCCCCCCCCAACGUGCUGCCUCCCCGUCCCAUUUGUGUCCUCUGGCCAUCGCCCUCUCUGGUAACGCCCAUCACUGCAAAGACCCUUUUCCUUCAUCGGCGUUUGCUGUUCUUCCUGCCAGUGCGUGUUGCUUUCACUUACACUUGCCACAGCCAGCCUCGUGAGUGCCUAGCCUAUUGGAUAUCACUGUCACCUACACAGGACAGUCAUUACCUUUCUAUUAAUACUUUGUGUUUUAAUUUCACAUUAAUUUCCAUAUUGUAUAAACGACUGGAAAAAACUUGAGCCCCUGCCCCUGUAUAAUCAUGUGCAUGUCUCUGUUCUAGCUCCAAGGUGAAUCUUCACUGCUCAUGUUCUCCUCAGAAGCACUCACCUCACUCCCCUCAGGUUACUGUACACAUGCACCUACUGCCUGCUUCAGGUUUGGAUGGAGCUUCAUGGUUGUCUUUUGGAGAAAUGACCAGUCAAGUUGUGUUUGAAAUUUGAUUUUUUUCAGGGGCAAAAGGAGCCUCUGCAUUCUUGUCAAAUAUGUAAAUAGCAUGUUUUUGCAGGUGCUAAAAACCAGACUCUGAGUGUGUGUGUGUGUGUGUGUGUGUGUGUGUGUGCGUGUGUGUGUGUCUGUGUGUGCGUUCAAGUCACAUGACAUAUUUAAUCGGAUGUAGCUGCAAGACGGAGCCUCGUUGACUCUCCGUUUCAACUUAUCUCAAAAGUGAGGACCUCAACCUAUAUACCAGUUUUUAAAUUGUGUUGAUAGGCCAAAUAAAACCAGAGUUAUGAUAAAUUAUGUCCGCGAUACUUUUUUUCUGCUUAUUUUGAUCACGUUCGGCGCUCGAGCGCUGUAUGAGACAGGAAAACAUAGCAUGCAGACAUUAGCGACAGGUCUUACAGGCGGAAAAGGCUUGCCAAAAGAAAAAAAAAACACACCACAACAUCUCUCCUAUUGGUGGAAAACUUCACCACAACAACCAAUCCAAAAUUAUAUGGUGACUGAUUGACAAGGGGCGGGCGCUUACGUUCUUCCUGCAACAUGAGAAGCGAGGGAGGGACUCUCAGCAGGGAUGCAGUCUGGGACACGUAGUUGCAAACCUAGCGACUUUGUUGUUAGAUUCAAUGACUUUUCAGACCCCCUAACGACUUUUUUUUAGAAAGAAAGGGACUUUUAUCGACUUCUUCUGGAGUUUAGAGACUCUGACAUGAAGCAGGCUUUCCUUACUGAGGAGUUAGCAACGCUGCUAAGGGUGCAGAGCCACACAUGCGCUCAGAGCUCUGCAUGGGAGACUGAAGCUGACAGAGCUGCAGCAGUUAGCAGGUUUCACCCUCAGAGACCACCAGGGGUUCAUGUUGAGGCAUUUUAAUUUUUUUUUUUUUUUUGUGCCAUAGACACUGUCAGCACAAUCUGCAGUUACACUAACAAAAAUGCUGCAAAAAACAAAGAAUUAUGGAAGAAUUACACAUGGACUGACAUAGAGGAGGAUCUACACAAGUUUUUUACAUCAUGUUUUACAUCAUGCAUCAUUUACAUCAUGUUUUUUUGUAGUGGCAUAAAUAAAAAGUGACAUUUGUGAGACUAUAGUGUUUUGUAAAUAAUUUUACAAAGAACGCCUGGGCCAUUGCCUGCAUUUUGAUGUAAACAGAGGUAAAUCACUAUGUUCUUUGUUAAAAAUUUGCAUAUGUUUUGAAGUUUACAAUUUUUAUUUGAAGUUUAAGUUUUAAAAACAGUUCAUCACACAUAUUAAUGGUUUAAUUUCACAUUAAUUUCCAUAUUGUAUAAAUGACUGGAAAAAACUUGAGCCCCUGCCCCUGUAUAAUCAUGUGCACGUCCCUGUUCUAGCUCCAAGGUGAAUCUUCACUGCUCAUGUUCUCCUCAGAAAUAGUCACCUCACUCCCCUCAGGUUACUGUACACAUGCACCAACUAUCUGCUUCAGGUUUGAAAUGGAGCUUCAUGGUUGUCUUUUGGAGAAAUGAACAGUCAAGUUGUGUUUGAAAUUUGAUUUUUUUCAGGGGCAAAAGGAAGCCUCUGCAUUCUUGUCAAAUAUGUAAACAGCAUGUUUUUGCAGGUGCUAAAAAACAGACUCUGAGUGUGUGUGUGUGUCUCUGUGUGUGUGUGUGUGUGUGUGUGUGUGUAUGUUGGCGUGUGUGUAUAUGUGUGUGUAUCCUGCAGUACUCUGUACUCCUGCAGUGGCCAAAAAGACUUUUAAGAAUGUGGAUUUUUGGGUCAUCUUUGGCGCCCCCUAGAACUGCAGUACUCUGUACUCCUGCAGUGGCCAAAAUGACUUUUAAGAAUGUGGAUUUUUGGGUCAUCUUUGGCGCCCCCUAGAACGUAAACCGUGGGGUGCAGCGUCAUGAUUUUUACAACUUUGAAUGGGCAUGGGGUGUAGAUUGCCCUGAGCAAAUUUGGUAUCGGUGGGACGAAAGCCUUAGGAGGAGAUAGCCACAUUCCAAUGUGUGCGAAUCGGCAAAAAAUGCAAAAUAACCCUUUAACCGUACAUUAUAAAGAUACGCGCUCUUGACUUUUUCGUAGAUCUAAUUGAGAUACACAUGAUUGUCAAUUUUUGUGUCAAUAUGACAAAGCGUUCAGGCGUGACACUCAACAAUGUGUAUUUUCAUGUAAGGGGACAAGAAAAAAUUGACUUUUUUCUCCUACCAUGGGGGGGCGCUCUUUUGGGGAGUAAAAAUUCCUUCACAAAUGUGUUGAUGGCUGGACAUUGCAUCAUCCUAGAAAACUUGGAGGCCAGUGAGGACAAAAAUAAAAAGUUAUAAAACAUUUAAGAAUGUGGAUUUUUGGGUUAUUUUUGGCGCCCCCUAGAACCUAAACCAUGGGGUGCAGCAUCAUGAUUUGAAUAACUUUUAAUGGCCAUGGGGUGUAGAUUGGCCUGAGCAAAUGUGGUGCCGGUGGAACGAAAGCCUUCGGAGGAGUUAGCGAAAUUCCAAUGUGUGCGUAUCGGCAAAAAAUGCGGAAUAACCCUUUAACUGUACAUUUGACAGAUACGCGCGCAUGGACUUUUUUGUAGAUCUUAUUGAGUUACAUGUGUGUGUCAAUUUUUGUGUCAUUUUGACAAAGCGUAUAGGCGUGACACUCAACAAUGUGUAUUUUCACCUUAGGGGACAAGAAAAAAUGGACUUUUUUCUCCUGCCAUGGGGGGGCGCUCUUUUGGGGAGUAAAAAUUCCUUCACAGAUGUGUUGAUGGCUGGACAUUGCAUCAUCCUAGAAAACUUGGAGGCCAGUGAGGACAAAAAUAAAAAGUUAUAAGACUUUUAAAUAUGUGGAUUUUAGGGUUAUUUUUGGCGCCCCCUAGAACCUAAACCGUGGGGUGCAGCGUCAUGAUUUGAAUAACUUUUAAUGGCCAUGGGGUGUAGAUUGGCCUGAGCAAAUGUGGUGCCGGUGGAACGAAAGCCUUCGGAGGAGUUAGCGAAAUUCCAAUGUGUGCAGAUCUGCAAAAAAUGCAAAAUAACCCAUUAACCGUACAUUUGACAGAUACGCCCGCACUGACUUUUUUGUAGAUCUUAUUGAGAUACAUGUGUGUGUCAAUUUUUGUGUCAUUUUGACAAAGCGUACAGGCGUGACAGUGAAUAGUGUGAAUUUUCACCUUAGGGGGCGCUAUGGAGCCAUUUUGCAUUUUCUUGUUUGGGCGACUUCGGAAUAUCAAAUUUUUCACCAGGCCCGGUCGUCCUGCCAAAUUUCAUGAGUUUUCGCCAGUGGGAAGUGGGCCAUUUUCCAGUUCAAAGGGGAGGAAAAAUAAUAAUAAUAACAAAAGAAGGAAACUACAGGAACAAGAGGGCUCUCGCAGCUGCUUAGCAGCUACGCUCGGGCCCUAAAAAACCCCUACAGGAAUAACAGGGCCUACGCCCGGCUGCUCUGCAGCUGGCUCGGGCCCUAACAAAAGAAGGAAACUACAGGAACAAGAGGGCUCUCGCAGCUGCUUAGCAGCUACGCUCGGGCCCUAAAGAAAGAAACAAAGAAAAACCACUUGGGGAAUAAUAGGGCCUACGCCCGGCUGCUCUGCAGCUGGCUCGGGCCCUAAUUAAAACACAAAGUAUUAAUAGAAAGGUAAUGACUGUCCUGUGUAGGUGACAGUGAUAUCCAAUAGGCUAGGCACUCACGAGGCUGGCUGUGGCAAGUGUAAGUGAAAGCAACACGCACUGGCAGGAAGAACAGCAAACGCCGAUGAAGGAAAAGGGUCUUUGCAGUGAUGGGCGUUACCAGAGAGGGCGAUGGCCAGAGGACACAAAUGGGACGGGGAGGCAGCACGUUGGGGGGGGACGCGACACGGCUCGGGCCCGCCAGUGCCCCAACGGGGUCCUAGUUAGGGCCCGAGCGUAGCUGCUAAGCAGCUGCGAGAGCCCUAUUAUUCCCCAAGUGGUUUUUCUUUGUUUCUUUCUUUCUUUUUUCUUUUUCCUCCCCUUUGAACUUGAAAAUGGCCCACUUCCCACUGGCGAAAACUCAUGAAAUUUGGCAGGAUGACCGGGCCUGGUGAAAAAUUUGAUAUUCCGAAGUCGCCCAAACAAGAAAAUGCAAAAUGGCUCCAUAGCGCCCCCUAAGGUGAAAAUUCACACUAUUGACUGUCACGCCUGUACGCUUUGGCAAAAUGACACAAAAAUUGACACACACAUGUAUCUCAAUAAGAUCUACAAAAAAGUCAGUGCGGUCGUAUCUGUCAAAUGUACGGUUAAAGGGUUAUUGCGCAUUUUUUGCCGAUCCGCACACAUUGGAAUUUCGCUAACUCCUCCGAAGGCUUUCGUUCCACCGGCACCACAUUUGCUCAGGUCAAUCUACACCCCGUGGCCAUUAAAAGUUAUCAAAAUCAUGACGCUGCACCCCAAGGUUUAGGUUCUAGGGGGCGCCAAAGAUAACACUAAAAUCCACAUAUUUAAAAGUCUUAUAACUUUUUAUUUUUGUCCUCACUGGCCUCCAAGUUUUCUAGGAUGAUGCAAUGUCCAGCCAUCAACAGAUUUGUGAAGGAAUUUUUACUCCCCAAAAGAGCGCCCCCCCAUGGCAGGAGAAAAAAGUCCAUUUUUUCUUGUCCCUUAAGGUGAAAAUACACAUUGUUGAGUGUCACGCCUAUACGCUUUGUCAAAAUGACACAAAAAUUGACACACACAUGUAACUCAAUAAGAUCUACAAAAAAGUCAAUGCGCGCGUAUCUGUCAAAUGUACGGUUAAAGGGUUAUUCCGCAUUUUUUGCCGAUUCGCACACAUUGGAAUUUCGCUAACUCCUCCGAAGGCUUUCGUUCCACCGGCACCACAUUUGCUCAGGCCAAUCUACACCCCAUGGCCAUUAAAAGUUAUCAAAAUCAUGACGCUGCACCCCACGGUUUACGUUCUAGGGGGCGCCAAAGAUAACCCUAAAAUCCACAUAUUUAAAAGUCUUAUAACUUUUUAUUUUUGUCCUCACUGGCCUCCAAGUUUUCUAGGAUGAUGCAAUGUCCAGCCAUCAACACAUUUGUGAAGGAAUUUUUACUCCCCAAAAGAGCGCCCCCCCAUGGCAGGAGAAAAAAGUCCAUUUUUUCUUGUCCCUUAAGGUGAAAAUACAUAUUGUUGAGAUUCACGCCUAUACGCUUUGUCAUAUUGACACAAAAUUUGACAAUCACGUGCCUUGCCUGGUAUCAUUUUUUUCAGCACAACCUCACCUGUGCGAAUUUACAGUUAUUUUAUCAUGUUGACAUACUGAAUUUACACAAUGGACCCAAAUUCACACACAAAACAUAAAAUCCGAGUGGAAAAAAGUAACAUUUUUACUGUGAAAACCACAAAUAUGUGUGAUGAACUGUUUUUAAAACUUAAACUUCAAAUAAAAAUUGUAAACUUCAAAACAUAUGCAAAUUUUUAACAAAGAACAUAGUGAUUUACCUCUAUUUACAUCAAAAUGCAGGCAAUGGCCCAGGCGUUCUUUGUAAAAUUAUUUACAAAACACUGUAUAGUCUCACAAAUGUCACUUUUUAUUUAUGCCACUACAAAAAAACAUGAUGUAAAUGAUGCAUGAUGUAAAACAUGAUGUAAAAAACUUGUGUAGAUCCUCCUCUAUGUCAGUCCAUGUGUAAUUUUUCCAUAAUUCUUUGUUUUUUGCAGCAUUUUUGUUAGUGUAACUGCAGAUUGUGCUGACAGUGUCUAUGGCACAAAAAAAAAAAAAAUUAAAAUGCCUCAACAUGAACCCCUGGUGAUCUCUGAGGGUGAAACCUGCUAACUGCUGCAGCUCUGUCAGCUUCAGUCUCCCAUGCAGAGCUCGGAGCGCAUGUGUGGCUCUGCACCCUUAGCAGCGUUGCUAACUCCUCAGUAAGGAAAGCCUGCUUCAUGUCAGAGUCUCUAAACUCCAGAAGAAGUCGAUAAAAGUCACUUUCUUUCUAAAAAAAAGUCGUUAGGGGGUCUGAAAAGUCAUUGAAUCUAACAACAAAGUCGCUAGGUUUGCAACUACGUGUCCCAGACUGCAUCCCUGCUGAGAGUCCCUCCCUCCCUUCUCAUAUUGCAGGAAGAACGUAAGUUCCCGCCCCUUGUCAAUCAGUCACCAUAUAAUUUUGGAUUGGUUGUUGUGGUGAAGUUUUCCACCAAUAGGAGAGAUGUUGUGGUGUGUAUUUUUUUUCCUUUGGCAAGCCUUUUCCGCCUGUAAGACCUGUCGCUAAUGUCUGCAUGCUAUGUUUUCCUGUCUCAUACAGCGCGAUCGAGCGCCGAACGUGAUCAAAAUAAGCAGAAAACAAGUAUCGCGGACAUAAUUUAUCAUAACUCUGGUUUUAUUUGGCCUAUCAACACAAUUUAAAAACUGGUAUAUAGGUUGAGGUCCUCACUUUUGAGAUAAAUUGAAACGGAGAGUCAACGAGGCUCCGUCUUGCAUCUACAUCCGGUUAAAUAUGUCAUGUGACUUGAACGCACACACACACACACACACAGACACACACACACGCACACACACACACUCAGAGUCUGGUUUGUAGCACCUGCAAAAACAUGCUAUUUACAUAUUUGACAAGAAUGCAGAGGCUCCUUUUGCCCCUGAAAAAAAUCAAAUUUCAAACACAACUUGACUGGUCAUUUCUCCAAAAGACAACCAUGAAGCUCCAUCCAAACCUGAAGCAGGCAGUUGGUGCAUGUGUACAGUAACCUGAGGGGAGUGAGGUGACUGCUUCUGAGGAGAACAUGAGCAGUGAAGAUUCACCUUAGAGCUAGAACAGAGACGUGCACAUGAUUAUACAGGGGCAGGGGCUCAAGUUUUUUCCAGUUGUUUAUACAAUAUGGAAAUUAAUGUGAAAUUAAAAAACAAAGUAUUAAUAGAAAGGUAAUGACUGUCCUGAGUAGGUGACAGUGAUAUCCAAUAGGCUAGGCACUCAAGAGGCUGGCUGUGGCAAGUGUAAGUGAAAGCAACACGCACUGGCAGGAAGAACAGCAAACGCCGAUGAAGGAAAAGGGUCUUUGCAGUGAUGGGCGUUACCAGAGAGGGCGAUGGCCAGAGGACACAAAUGGGACGGGGAGGCAGCGCGUUGGGGGGGGGGACGCGACACAGCUCGGGCCCGCCAGUGCCCCAACGGGGUCCUAGUUAGGGCCCGAGCCAGCUGCAGAGCAGCCGGGCGUAGGCCCUAUUAUUCCCCAAGUGGUUUUUCUUUGUUUCUUUCUUUCUUUCUUUCUUUCUUCUUUUUCCUCCCCUUUGAACUGGAAAAUGGCCCACUUCCCACUGGCGAAAACUCAUGAAAUUUGGCAGGACGACCGGGCCUGGUGAAAAAUUCGAUAUUCUGAAGUCGCCCAAACAAUAAAAUGCAAAAUGGCUCCAUAGCGCCCCCUAAGGUGGAAAUUCACACUAUUGACUGUCACGCCUGUACGCUUUGUCAUAUUGACACAAAAAUUGACACACAUAUGUAUCUCAAUAAGAUCUACAAAAAAGUCAGUGCGGCCGUAUCUGUCAAAAUUACGGUUAAAGGGUUAUUUCGCAUUUUUUGCCGAUCCGCACACAUUGGAAUUUCGCUAACUCCUCCGAAGGCUUUCGUUCCACCGGCACCACAUUUGCUCAGGCCAAUCUACACCCCGUGGCCAUUAAAAGUUAUCAAAAUCAUGACGCUGCACCCCAAGGUUUAGGUUCUAGGGGGCGCCAAAGAUAACACUAAAAUCCACAUAUUUAAAAGUCUUAUAACUUUUUAUUUUUGUCCUCACUGGCCUCCAAGUUUUCUAGGAUGAUGCAAUGUCCAGCCAUCAACACAUUUGUGAAGGAAUUUUUACUCCCCAAAAGAGCGCCCCCCCAUGGCAGGAGAAAAAAGUCCAUUUUUUCUUGUCCCCUAAGGUGAAAAUACACAUUGUUGAGUGUCACGCCUAUACGCUUUGUCAAAAUGACACAAAAAUUGACACACACAUGUAACUCAAUAAGAUCUACGAAAAAGUCAAUGCGUGCGUAUCUGUCAAAUGUACGGUUAAAGGGUUAUUUCGCAUUUUUUGCCGAUCCGCACACAUUGGAAUUUCGCUAACUCCUCCGAAGGCUUUCGUUCCACCGGCACCACAUUUGCUCAGGCCAAUCUACACCCCGUGGCCAUUAAAAGUUAUCAAAAUCAUGACGCUGCACCCCAAGGUUUAGGUUCUAGGGGGCGCCAAAGAUAACCCUAAAAUCCACAUAUUUAAAAGUCUUAUAACUUUUUAUUUUUGUCCUCACUGGCCUCCAAGUUUUCUAGGAUGAUGCAAUGUCCAGCCAUCAACACAUUUGUGAAGGAAUUUUUACUCCCCAAAAGAGCGCCCCCCCAUGGCAGGAGAAAAAGUCCAUUUUUUCUUGUCCCCUAAGGUGAAAAUUCACAUUGUUGAGUGUCACGCCUAUACGCUUUGUCAAAAUGACACAAAAAUUGACACACACAUGUAACUCAAUAAGAUCUACGAAAAAGUCAAUGCGCGCGUAUCUGUCAAAUGUAUGGUUAAAGGGUUAUUUCGCAUUUUUUGCCGAUCCGCACACAUUGGAAUGUGGCUAACUCCUCCUAAGGCUUUCGUUCCACCGGCACCACAUUUGCUCAGGCCAAUCUACACCCCAUGGCCAUUAAAAGUUAUUCAAAUCAUGACGCUGCACCCCACGGUUUAGGUUCUAGGGGGCGCCAAAGAUAACCCUAAAAUCCACAUAUUUAAAAGUCUUAUAACUUUUUAUUUUUGUCCUCACUGGCCUCCAAGUUUUCUAGGAUGAUGCAAUGUCCAGCCAUCAACACAUUUGUGAAGGAAUUUUUACUCCCCAAAAGAGCGCCCCCCGAUGGCAGGAGAAAAAAGUCCAUUUUUUCUUGUCCCCUAAGGUGAAAAUACAUAUUGUUGAGAUUCACGCCUAUACGCUUUGUCAUAUUGACACAAAAUUUGACAAUCACGUGCCUUGCCUGGUAUCAUUUUUUUCAGCACAACCUCACCUGUGCGAAUUUACAGUUAUUUUAUCAUGUUGACAUACUGAAUUUACACAAUGGACCCAAAUUCACACACAAAACAUAAAAUCCGAGUGGAAAAAAGUAACAUUUUUACUGUGAAAACCACAAAUAUGUGUGAUGAACUGUUUUUAAAACUUAAACUUCAAAUAAAAAUUGUAAACUUCAAAACAUAUGCAAAUUUUUAACAAAGAACAUAGUGAUUUACCUCUAUUUACAUCAAAAUGCAGGCAAUGGCCCAGGCGUUCUUUGUAAAAUUAUUUACAAAACACUGUAUAGUCUCACAAAUGUCACUUUUUAUUUAUGCCACUACAAAAAAACAUGAUGUAAAUGAUGCAUGAUGUAAAACAUGAUGUAAAAAACUUGUGUAGAUCCUCCUCUAUGUCAGUCCAUGUGUAAUUUUUCCAUAAUUCUUUGUUUUUUGCAGCAUUUUUGUUAGUGUAACUGCAGAUUGUGCUGACAGUGUCUAUGGCACAAAAAAAAAAAAAAAUUAAAAUGCCUCAACAUGAACCCCUGGUGGUCUCUGAGGGUGAAACCUGCUAACUGCUGCAGCUCUGUCAGCUUCAGUCUCCCAUGCAGAGCUCUGAGCGCAUGUGUGGCUCUGCACCCUUAGCAGCGUUGCUAACUCCUCAGUAAGGAAAGCCUGCUUCAUGUCAGAGUCUCUAAACUCCAGAAGAAGUCGAUAAAAGUCCCUUUCUUUCUAAAAAAAAGUCGUUAGGGGGUCUGAAAAGUAAUUGAAUCUAACAACAAAGUCGCUAGGUUUGCAACUACGUGUCCCAGACUGCAUCCCUGCUGAGAGUCCCUCCCUCGCUUCUCAUGUUGCAGGAAGAACGUAAGCACCCGCCCCUUGUCAAUCAGUCACCAUAUAAUUUUGGAUUGGUUGUUGUGGUGAAGUUUUCCACCAAUAGGAGAGAUGUUGUGGUGUGUUUUUUUUUUCUUUUGGCAAGCCUUUUCCGCCUGUAAGACCUGUCGCUAAUGUCUGCAUGCUAUGUUUUCCUGUCUCAUACAGCGCGAUCGAGCGCCGAACGUGAUCAAAAUAAGCAGAAAAAAAGUAUCGCGGACAUAAUUUAUCAUAACUCUGGUUUUAUUUGGCCUAUCAACACAAUUUAAAAACUGGUAUAUAGGUUGAGGUCCUCACUUUUGAGAUAAGUUGAAACGGAGAGUCAACGAGGCUCCGUCUUGCAGCUACAUCCGGUUAAAUAUGUCAUGUGACUUGAACGCACACACAGACACACACACACGCACACACACACACACACACACACACACUCAGAGUCUGGUUUUUAGCACCUGCAAAAACAUGCUAUUUACAUAUUUGACAAGAAUGCAGAGGCUCCUUUUGCCCCUGAAAAAAAUCUAAUUUCAAACACAACUUGACUGCUCAUUUCUCCAAAAGACAACCAUGAAGCUCCAUCCAAACCUGAAGCAGGCAGUUGGUGCAUGUGUACAGUAACCUGAGGGGAGUGAGGUGAGUGCUUCUGAGGAGAACAUGAGCAGUGAAGAUUCACCUUGGAGCUAGAACAGAGACAUGCACAUGAUUAUACAGGGGCAGGGGCUCAAGUUUUUUCCAGUCGUUUAUAUCAUAUGGAAAUUAAUGUGAAAUUAAAACACAAAGUAUUAAUAGAAAGGUAAUGACUGUCCUGUGUAGGUGACAGUGAUAUCCAAUAGGCUAGGCACUCACGAGGCUGGCUGUGGCAAGUGUAAGUGAAAGCAACACGCACUGGCAGGAAGAACAGCAAACGCCGAUGAAGGAAAAGGGUCUUUGCAGUGAUGGGCGUUACCAGAGAGGGCGAUGGCCAGAGGACACAAAUGGGACGGGGAGGCAGCACGUUGGGGGGGGGGGACGGGACACGGCUCGGGCCCGCCAGUGCCCCAACGGGGUCCUAGUUCUUCUUUUUCCUCCCCUUUGAACUGGAAAAUGGCCCACUUCCCACUGGCGAAAACUCAUGAAAUUUGGCAGGAUGACCGGGCCUGGUGAAAAAUUUGAUAUUCCGAAGUCGCCCAAACAAGAAAAUGCAAAAUGGCUCCAUAGCGCCCCCUAAGGUGAAAAUUCACACUAUUGACUGUCACGCCUUUACGCUUUGUCAUAUUGACACAAAAAUUGACACACACAUGUAUCUCAAUAAGAUCUACAAAAAGGUCAGUGCGGGCGUAUCUGUCAAAUGUACGGUUAUAGGGUUAUUCCGCAUUUUUUGCCGAUACGCACACAUUGGAAUUUCGCUAACUCCUCCGAAGGCUUUCGUUCCACCGGCACCACAUUUGCUCAGGCCAAUCUACACCCCAUGGCCAUUAAAAGUUAUUAAAAUCAUGACGCUGCACCCCACAGUUUAGGUUCUAGGGGGCGCCAAAGAUAACCCUAAAAUCCACAUAUUUAAAAGUCUUAUAACUUUUUAUUUUUGCCCUCACUGGCCUCCAAGUUUUCUAGGAUGAUGCAAUGUCCAGCCAUCAACACAUUUGUGAAGGAAUUUUUACUCCCCAAAAGAGCGCCCCCCCAUGGCAGGAGAAAAAAGUCAAUUUUUUCUUGUCCCCUAAGGUGAAAAUACACAUUGUUGAGUGUCACGCCUGUACGCUUUGUCAUAUUGACACAAAAUUUGACACACACAUGUAUCUCAAUAAGAUCUACGAAAAAGUCAAUGCGCGCGUAUCUGUCAAAUGUACGGUUAAAGGGUUAUUCCGCAUUUUUUGCUGAUCCGCACACAUUGGAAUUUCGCUAACUCCUCCUAAGGCUGGCGUUCCACCGGCACCACAUUUGCUCAGGCCAAUCUACACCCCAUGGCCAUUAAAAGUUAUUCAAAUCAUGACGCUGCACCCCACGGUUUAGGUUCUAGGGGGCGCCAAAGAUAACCCUAAAAUCCACAUUUUUAAAAGUCUUAUAACUUUUUAUUUUUGUCCUCACUGGCCUCCAAGUUUUCUAGGAUGAUGCAAUGUCCAGCCAUCAACACAUUUGUGAAGGAAUUUUUACUCCCUAAAAGAGCGCCCCCCCAUGGCAGGAGAAAAAAGUCCAUUUUUUCUUGUCCCCUAAGGUGAAAAUACACAUUGUUGACUGUCACGCCUGUACGCUUUGGCAAAAUGACACAAAAAUUGACAAUCAUGUGUAUCUCAAUUAGAUCUACGAAAAAGUCAAAGAGCGCGUAUCUGUAUAAUGUACGGUAAAAGGGCUAUUUUGCAUUUUUUGCCGAUUCGCACACAUUGGAAUUUCGCUAACUCCUCCUAAGGCUUUCGUCCCACUGACACCAAAUUUGCUCAGGCCAAUCUACACUCCAUGGCCAUUCAAAGUUGUAAAAAUCAUGACGCUGCACCCCACGGUUUACGUUUAAGGGGGGGCCAAAGAUGACCCAAAUAUACAUUACAGUAGACAAAGUAGUUUUGCCCACUGAGUGGCGCCAAAGGGACUUGUCUGUGGAGUCUGUGAGUCACUAUUGGCCGUUUUUGACUACUUUAGAUUUUACCUUUAUAUUUCCUCUUACAAAAUUUUUACCUUGCCUUGCCUGGUAUCAUUUUUUUCAGCACAACCUCACCUGUGUCAAUUUACAGUUAUUUUAUCAUUUUGACAUACUAUAUUUAAACAUUGGACCCAAAUUCACACACAAAACAUAAAAUCCGAGUGGAAAAAAGUAACGUUUUUACUGUGAAAACCACAAAUAUGUGUGAUGAACUGUUUUUAAAACUUAAACUUCAAAUAAAAAUUGUAAACUUCAAAACAUAUGCAAAUUUUUAACAAAGAACAUAGUAAUUUACCUCUAUUUACAUCAAAAUGCAGGCAAUGGCCCAGGCGUUCUUUGUAAAAUUAUUUACAAAACACUGUAUAGUCUCACAAAUCUCACUUUUUAUUUAUGCCACUACAAAAAAACAUGAUGUAAAUGAUGCAUGAUGUAAAACAUGAUGUAAAAAACUUGUGUAGAUCCUCCUCUAUGUUAGUCCAUGUGUAAUUUUUCCAUAAUUCUUUGUUUUUUGCAGCAUUUUUGUUAGUGUAACUGCAGAUUGUGCUGACAGUGUCUAUGGCAAAAAAAAAAAAAAAAAACUGAAAAUGCCUCAACAUGAACCCCUGGUGGUCUCUGAGGGUGAAACCUGCUAACUGCUGCAGCUCUGUCAGCUUCAGUCUCCCAUGCAGAGCUCGGAGCGCAUGUGUGGCUCUGCACCCUUAGCAGCGUUGCUAACUCCUCAGUAAGGAAAGCCUGCUUCAUGUCAGAGUCUCUAAACUCCAGAACUCCAGAAGAAGUCGAUAAAAGUCCCUUUCUUUCUAAAAAAAAGUCAUUAGGGGGUCUGAAAAGUCAUUGAAUCUAACAACAAAGUCGCUAGGUUUGAAACUACGUGUCCCAGACUGCAUCCCUGCUGAGAGUCCCUCCCUCCCUUCUCAAGUUGCAGGAAGAACGUAAGCGCCCGCCCCUUGUCAAUCAGUCACCAUAUAAUUUUGGAUUGGUUGUUGUGGUGAAGUUUUCCACCAAUAGGAGAGAUGUUGUAGUGUGUUUUUUUUUUCUUUUGGCAAGCCUUUUCCGCCUGUAAGACCUGUCGCUAAUGUGUGCAUGCUAUGUUUUCCUGUCUCAUACAGCGCGAUCGAGCGCCGAACGUGAUCAAAAUAAGCAGAAAUAAGUAUUGCGGACAUAAUUUAUCAUAACUCUGGUUUUAUUUGGCCUAUCAACACAAUUUAAAAACUGGUAUAUAGUUUGAGGUCCUCACUUUUAAGAUAAGUUGAAACGAAGAAUCAACGAGGCUCCGUCUUGCAGCUACAUCCGGUUAAAUAUGUCAUGUGACUUGAACGCUGGGGAGCGUCAAUCGAAUCGAAUCAAACCUAACUCUCAGAUGAAUCUUCAAAAUUCACCUCAGAAAUAUGCUUAUUAUUCUUCUCAGAGUACUGCAGGAUACACACACACACAGACACACACACACACACGCACACACACUCAGAGUCUGUUUUUUAGCACCUGCAAACACAUGCUAUUUACAUAUUUGACAAGAAUGCAGAGGCUUUCUUUUGCCUCUGAAAAAAAUCAAAUUUCAAACACAACUUGACUGCUCAUUUCUCCAAAAGACAACCAUGAAGCUCCAUCCAAACCUGAAGCAGGCAGUUGGUGCAUGUGUACAGUAACCUGAGGGGAGUGAGGUGACUGCUUCUGAGGAGAACAUGAGCAGUGAAGAUUCACCUUGGAGCUAGAACAGGGACGUGCACAUGAUUAUACAGGGGCAGGGGCUCAAGUUUUUUCCAGUCGUUUAUACAAUAUGGAAAUUAAUGUGAAAUUAAAAAACAAAGUAUUAAUAGAAAGGUAAUGACUGUCCUGUGUAGGUGACAGUGAUAUCCAAUAGGCUAGGCACUCACGAGGCUGGCUGUGGCAAGUGUAAGUGAAAGCAACACGCACUGGCAGGAAGAACAGCAAACGCCGAUGAAGGAAAAGGGUCUUUGCAGUGAUGGGCGUUACCAGAGAGGGCGAUGGCCAGAGGACGCGAAUGGGACGGGGAGGCAGCGCGUUGGGGGGGGGCGCGACACGGCUCGGGCCCGCCAGUGCCCCAACGGGGCCCUAGUUAGGGCCCGAGCGUAGCUGCUAAGCAGCUGCGAGAGCCCUCUUGUUCCUGAUGGAUUCUUCUUUUGUUAUUUUUCCUCCGCUUUAAACUGGAAAAUGGCCCACUUCCCACUGGCGAAAACUCAGGAAAUUUGGCAGGACGACCGGGCCUGGUGAAAAAUUCGAUAAUCUGAAGUCGUCCAAACAAAAAAAUGAAAAAUGGCUCCAUAGCGCCCCCUAUGGUGAAAACUCACCUGAUGCCUGUACGCUUUGUCAAAAUGACACAAAAUUUGACACACAUGUGUAUCUCAAUAAGAUCUACGAAAAAGUCAGUGCGGGCGUAUCUGUCAAAUGUACGGUUAAAGGGCUAUUUCGCUUUUUUUGCAGAUCCGCACACAUUGGAAUUUCGCUAACUCCUCCGAAGGCUUUCGUUCCACCGGCACCAAAUUUGCUCAGGCCAAUCUACACCCCAUGGCCAUUAAAAGUUGUACAAAUCAUGCCGCUGCACCCCACGGUUUACUUUCUAGGGGGCGCCAAAGAUAACACAAAAAUCCACAUUCUUAAAAGUCUUAUAACUUUUUAUUUUUGUCCUCACUGGCCUCCAAGUUUUCUAGGAUGAUGCAAUGUCCAGCCAUCAACACAUUUGUGAAGGAAUUUUUACUCCCCAAAAGAGCGCCCCCCCAUGGCAGGAGAAAAAAGUCCAUUUUUUCUUGUCUCCUAAGGUAAAAAUACACAUUGUUGAGUGUCACGCCUAUACACUUUGUCAUAUUGACACACAAUUUGACAAUCACGUGUAUCUCAAUAAGAUCUACAAAAAAGUCAAUAGGCACGUAUCUGUCAAAUGUAUGGUUAAAGGGCUAUUUCGCAUUUUUUGCCGAUUCGCACACAUUGGAAUGUGGCUAUCUCCUCCUAAGGCUUUCGUCCCACCGAUACCAAAUUUGCUCAGGGCAAUCUACACCCCAUGGCCAUUCAAAGUUGUAAAAAUCAUGACGCUGCACCCCACGGUUUACGUUCUAGGGGGCGCCAAAGAUGACCCAAAAAUCCACAUUCUUAAAAGUCAUUUUGGCCACUGCAGGAGUACAGAGUACUGCAGUUCUAGGGGGCGCCAAAGAUGACCCAAAAAUCCACAUUCUUAAAAGUCUUUUUGGCCACUGCAGGAGUACAGAGUACUGCCGGACACACACACAUAUACACACACGCCAACACACACACACACACACACACACACUCAGAGUCUGGUUUUUAGCACCUGCAAAAACAUGCUGUUUACAUAUUUGACAAGAAUGCAGAGGCUUCCUUUUGCCCCUGAAAAAAAUCAAAUUUCAAACACAACUUGACUGUUCAUUUCUCCAAAAGACAACCAUGAAGCUCCAUCCAAACCUGAAGCAGAUAGUUGGUGCAUGUGUACAGUAACCUGAGGAGAGUGAGGUGACUACUUCUGAGGAGAACAUGAGCAGUGAAGAUUCACCUUGGAGCUAGAACAGGGACGUGCACAUGAUUAUACAGGGGCAGGGGCUCAAGUUUUUUCCAGUCAUUUAUACAAUAUGGAAAUUAAUGUGAAAUUAAACCACAAAUAUGUGUGAUGAACUGUUUUUAACACUUAAACUUCAAAUAAAAAUUGUAAACUUCAAAACAUAUGCAAAUUUUUAACAAAGAGCAUAGUAAUUUACCUCUAUUUACAUCAAAAUGCAGGCAAUGGCCCAGGCGUUCUUUGUAAAAUUAUUUACAAAAGACUGUAUAGUCUCACAAAUGUCACUUUUUAUUUAUGCCACUACAAAAAAACAUGAUGUAAAUGAUGCAUGAUGUAAAACAUGAUGUAAAAAACUUGUGUAGAUCCUCCUCUAUGUCAGUCCAUGUGUAAUUUUUCCAUAAUUCUUUGUUUUUUGCAGCAUUUUUGUUAGUGUAACUGCAGAUUGUGCUGACAGUGUCUAUGGCAAAAAAAAAAAAAACUGAAAAUGCCUCAACAUGAACUCCUGGUGGUCUCUGAGGGUGAAACCUGCUAACUGCUGCAGCUCUCUCAGCUCUAGUCUCCCAUGCAGAGCUCGGAGCGCAUGUGUGGCUCUGCACCCUUAGCAGCGUUGCUAACUCCUCAGUAAGGAAAGCCUGCUUCAUGUCAGAGUCUCUAAACUCCAGAGGAAGUCGAUAAAAUUCCCUUUCUUUCUAAAAAAAGUCGUUAGGGGGUCUGAAGAGUCAUUGAAUCUAACAACAAAGUCGCUAGGUUUGCAACUACGUUUCCCAGACUGCAUCCCUGCUGAGAGUUCCUCCCUCCCUUCUCAUAUUGCAGGAAGAACGUAAGCGCCCGCCCCUUGUCAAUCAGUCACCAUAUAAUUUUGGAUUGGUUGUUGUGGUGAAGUUUUCCACCAAUAGGAGAGAUGUUGUGGUGUGUUUUUUUUUUCUUUUGGCAUGCCUUUUCCGCCUGUAAGAGCUGUCGCUAAUGUCUGCAUGCUAUGUUUUCCUGUCUCAUACAGCGUGAUCGAGCGCCGAACGUGAUCAAAAUAAGCAGAAAAAAAGUAUCGCGGACAUAAUUUAUCAUAACUCUGGUUUUAUUUGGCCUAUCAACACAAUUUAAAAACUGGUAUAUAGUUUGAGGUCCUCACUUUUGAGAUAAGUUGAAACGGAGGGUGAACGAGGCUCCGUCUUGCAGCUACAUCCGGUUAAAUAUGUCAUGUGACUUGAACGCUGGGGAGCGUCAAUCGACUGCAGAGCCAGCAGACAAAGUAGUUAUGCCACUGAGAGGCACACAUUUGUCAUAUGCUAUAAUCCUAACAUAUUUUAAUGCUUUUUCUAUUUAAACCUAAUGGAUCUAAGGUUUGACCUUCAAAAUUUAGGAAGAAUAUUUUUUUGCAGUAAUGACCCCCUUAAACAACCAGAGGUCCUUUCCUAAAGUUUAUGGAAAUUUUAGUGAAGGCCUUGGUUUCUUUCCUUGCAAAAUGUAUAGAAAUAAUAAAGCUAAAUACCAUAAAAUGGUCUUGGCGUAUUAGCAGUGAUAUAAAAUAGUGGUUUGAAUAUGAAUGAACAACAAAAAAAAACAUCAACAGAGCCUUUUUGAGUUGGGAUUCUUUCAUUAUCACACAAAAACAGACAUAGACAGACAUCUAAAGGGUAAGGGAAUGAUCAGCCCUCCUAACUCUCAGAUGAAUCUUCAAAAUUCACCGCAGAAAUAUGCUUAUUAUUCUUCUCAGAGUACUGCAAGAUAUAUACACACACACAGACACACACACACACACACACACACACACACACACACACACACACACACACACACACACACACACUCAGAGUCUGUUUUUUAGCACCUGCAAAAACAUGCUAUUUACAUAUUUGACAAGAAUGCAGAGGCUCCUUUUGCCCCUGAAAAAAAUCAAAUUUCAAACACAACUUGACUGCUCAUUUCUCCAAAAGACAACCAUGAAGCUCCAUCCAAACCUGAAGCAGGCAGUUGGUGCAUGUGUACAGUAACCUGAGGGGAGUGAGGUGACUGCUUCUGAGGAGAACAUGAGCAGUGAAGAUUCACCUUGGAGCUAGAACAGGGACGUGCACAUGAUUAUACAGGGGCAGGGGCUCAAGUUUUUUCCAGUCAUUUAUACAAUAUGGAAAUUAAUGUGAAAUUAAAAAACAAAGUAUUAAUAGAAAGGUAAUGACUGUCCUGUGUAGAUGACAGUGAUAUCCAAUAGGCUAGGCACUCACGAGGCUGGCUGUGGCAAGUGUAAGUGAAAGCAACACGCACUGGCAGGAAGAACAGCAAACGCCGAUGAAGGAAAAGGGUCUUUGCAGUGAUGGGCGUUACCAGAGAGGGCGAUGGCCAGAGGACACGAAUGGGACGGGGAGGCAGCGCGUUGGGGGGGGGGGGCGGCGCGACACGGCUCGGGCCCGCCAGUGCCCCAACGGGGCCCUAGUUAUUAUUUUUCCUCCGCUUUAAACUGGAAAAUGGCCCACUUCCCACUGGCGAAAACUCAGGAAAUUUGGCAGGACGACCGGGCCUGGUGAAAAAUUCGAUAUUCUGAAGUCGCCCAAACAAUAAAAUGCAAAAUGGCUCCAUAGCGCCCCCUAAGGUGAAAAUUCACAUGACGGCUGUACGCUUUGUCAUAUUGACACAAAAAUUGACACACACAUGUAUCUCAAUAAGAUCUACAAAAAAGUCAGUGCGGGCGUAUCUGUCAAAUGUACGGUUAAAGGGUUAUUUUGCAUUUUUUGCAGAUCUGCACACAUUGGAAUUUCGCUAACUCCUCCGAAGGCUUUCGUUCCACCGGCACCACAUUUGCUCAGGCCAAUCUACCCCCCAUGGCCAUUAAAAGUUGUACAAAUCAUGACGCUGCACCCCACGGUUUACGUUCUAGGGGGCGCCAAAGAUAACCCAAAAUCCACAUUCUUAAAAGUCUUAUAACUUUUUAUUUUUGUCCUCACUGCCCUCCAAGUUUUCUAGGAUGAUGCAAUGUCCAGCCAUCAACACAUUUGUGAAGGAAUUUUUACUCCCCAAAAGAGCGCCCCCCCAUGGCAGGAGAAAAAAGUCAAUUUUUUCUUGUCCCCUUACAUGAAAAUACACAUUGUUGAGUGUCACGCCUGAACGCUUUGUCAUAUUGACACAAAAAUUGACAAUCAUGUGUAUCUCAAUUAGAUCUACGAAAAAGUCAAAAAGCGCGUAUCUGUAUAAUGUACGGUUAAAGGGCUAUUUCGCAUUUUUUGCCGAUCCGCACACAUUGGAAUGUGGCUAUCUCCUCCUAAGGCUUUCGUCCCACCAAUACCAAAUUUGCUCAGGGCAAUCUACACCCCAUGGCCAUUCAAAGUUGUAAAAAUCAUGACGCUGCACCCCACGGUUUACGUUCUAGGGGGCGCCAAAGAUGACCCAAAAAUCCACAUUCUUAAAAGUCAUUUUGGCCACUGCAGGAGUACAGAGUACUGCAGUUCUAGGGGGCGCCAAAGAUGACCCAAAAAUCCACAUUCUUAAAAGUCUUUUUGGCCACUGCAGGAGUACAGAGUACUGCAGGAUACACACACAUAUACACACACACACACACACACACACACACACACACACACACACACACACACACUCAGAGUCUGUUUUUUAGCACCUGCAAAAACAUGCUGUUUACAUAUUUGACAAGAAUGCAGAGGCUUCCUUUUGCCCCUGAAAAAAAGCAAAUUUCAAACACAACUUGACUGUUCAUUUCUCCAAAACACAACCAUGAAGCUCCAUCCAAACCUGAAGCAGAUAGUUGGUGCAUGUGUACAGUAACCUGAGGGGAGUGAGGUGACUAUUUCUGAGGAGAACAUGAGCAGUGAAGAUUCACCUUGGAGCUAGAACAGGGACGUGCACAUGAUUAUACAGGGGCAGGGGCUCAAGUUUUUUCCAGUCAUUUAUACAAUAUGGAAAUUAAUGUGAAAUUAAACCACAAAUAUGUGUGAUGAACUGUUUUUAAAACUUAAACUUCAAAUAAAAAUUGUAAACUUCAAAACAUAUGCAAAUUUUUAACAAAGAACAUAGUAAUUUACCUCUAUUUACAUCAAAAUGCAGGCAAUGGCCCAGGCGUUCUUUGUAAAAUUAUUUACAAAACACUGUAUAGUCUCACAAAUGUCACUUUUUAUUUAUGCCACUACAAAAAAACAUGAUGUAAAUGAUGCAUGAUGUAAAACAUGAUGUAAAAAACUUGUGUAGAUCCUCCUCUAUGUCAGUCCAUGUGUAAUUUUUCCAUAAUUCUUUGUUUUUUGCAGCAUUUUUGUUAGUGUAACUGCAGAUUGUGCUGACAGUCUAUGGCAAAAAAAACAAAAACUGAAAAUGCCUCAACAUGAACCCCUGGUGGUCUCUGAGGGUGAAACCUGCUAACUGCUGCAGCUCUGUCAGCUUCAGUCUCCCAUGCAGAGCUCGGAGCGCAUGUGUGGCUCUGCACCCUUAGCAGCGUUGCUAACUCCUCAGUAAGGAAAGCCUGCUUCAUGUCAGAGUCUCUAAACUCCAGAAGAAGUCGAUAAAAGUCCCUUUCUUUCUAAAUAAAAGUCGUUAGGGGGUCUGAAAAGUAAUUGAAUCUAACAACAAAGUCGCUAGGUUUGCAACUACGUGUCCCAGACUGCAUCCCUGCUGAGAGUCCCUCCCUCCCUUCUCAUGUUGCAGGAAGAACGUAAGCGCCCGCCCCUUGUCAAUCAGUCACCAUAUAAUUUUGGAUUGGUUGUUGUGGUGAAGUUUUCCACCAAUAGGAGAGAUGUUGUAGUGUGUUUUUUUUUUCUUUUGGCAAGCCUUUUCCGCCUGUAAGACCUGUCGCUAAUGUGUGCAUGCUAUGUUUUCCUGUCUCAUACAGCGCGAUCGAGCGCCGAACGUGAUCAAAAUAAGCAGAAAAAAAGUAUCGCGGACAUAAUUUAUCAUAACUCUGGUUUUAUUUGGCCUAUCAACACAAUUUAAAAACUGGUAUAUAGGUUGAGGUCCUCACUUUUGAGAUAAGUUGAAACGGAGAGUUAACGAGGCUCCGUCUUGCAGCUACAUCCGGUUAAAUAUGUCAUGUGACUUGAACGCUGGGGAGCGUCAAUCGAAUCGAAUCAAACCUAACUCUCAGAUGAAUCUUCAAAAUUCACCUCAGAAAUAUGCUUAUUAUUCUUCUCAGAGUACUGCAGGAUACACACACACACACAGACACACACACACACACACACACACACACACUCAGAGUCUGUUUUUUAGCACCUGCAAAAACAUGCUAUUUACAUAUUUGACAAGAAUGCAGAGGCUUCCUUUUGCCCCUGAAAAAAAUCAAAUUUCAAACACAACUUGACUGCUCAUUUCUCCAAAAGACAACCAUGAAGCUCCAUCCAAACCUGAAGCAGGCAGUUGGUGCAUGUGUACAGUAACCUGAGGGGAGUGAGGUGACUGCUUCUGAGGAGAACAUGAGCAGUGAAGAUUCACCUUGGAGCUAGAACAGAGACAUGCACAUGAUUAUACAGGGGCAGGGGCUCAAGUUUUUUCCAGUCAUUUAUACAAUAUGGAAAUUAAUGUGAAAUUAAAAACAAAGUAUUAAUAGAAAUUUAAUGACUGUCCUGUGUAGGUGACAGUGAUAUCCAAUAGGCUAGGCACUCACGAGGCUGGCUGUUGCAAGAUUAAGUGAAAGCAACACGCACUGGCAGGAAGAACAGCAAACACCGAUGAAGGAAAAGGGUCUUUGCAGUGAUGGGCGUUACCAGAGAGGGAGAUGGCCAGAGGACGCGAAUGGGACGGGGAGGCAGCGCGUUGGGGGGGGGGGGGGGCGGGGGGGGGUUGGGGGCCACACGGCUCGGGCCCGCCAGUGCCCCAACGGGGCCCUAGUUAUUUUUCCUCCCCUUUGAACUGGAAAAUGGCCCACUUCCUACUGGCGAAAACUCAUGAAAUUUGGCAGGACGACCGGGCCUGGUGAAAAAUUUGAUAUUCCGAAGUCGCCCAAACAAGAAAAUGCAAAAUGGCUCCAUAGCGCCCCCUAAGGUGAAAAUUCACACUAUUGACUGUCACACGUGUACGCUUUGUCAAAAUGACACAAAAAUUGACACACACAUGUAUCUUAAUACGAUCUACGAAAAAGUCAAUGCGAGCGUAUCUGUUCAAUGUACGGUUAAAAUCAGUGCGGGCGUAUCUGUCAAAUGUACGGUUAAAGGGUUAUUUCGCAUUUUUUGCCGAUCCGCACACAUUGGAAUUUCGCUAACUCCUCCGAAGGCUUUCGUCCCACUGACACCAAAUUUGCUCAGGCCAAUCUACACCCCAUGGCCAUUCAAAGUUGUAAAAAUCAUGACGCUGCACCCCACGGUUUACGUUCUAGGGGGCGCCAAAGAUGACCCAAAAAUCCACAGUCUUAAAAGUCUUAUAACUUUUUAUUUUUGUCCUCACUGGCCUCCAAGUUCUCUAGGAUGAUGCAAUGUCCAGCCAUCAACACAUUUGUGAAGGAAUUUUUACUCCCCAAAAGAGCGCCCCCCAAUGGCAGGAGAAAAAAGUCCAUUUUUUCUUGUCUCCUAAGGCGAAAAUACACAUUGUUGACUGUCACGCCUUUACGCUUUGUCAAAAUGACACAAAAAUUGACACACACAUGUAUCUUAAUACGAUCUACGAAAAAGUCAAUGCGAGCGUAUCUGUUCAAUGUACGGUUAAAGGGCUAUUUCGCAUUUUUUGCCGAUCCGCACACAUUGGAAUUUCGCUAACUCCUCCGAAGGCUUUCGUUCCACCGGCACCACAUUUGCUCAGGCCAAUCUACACCCCAUGGCCAUUAAAAGUUAUUCAAAUCAUGACGCUGCACCCCACGGUUUAGGUUCUAGGGGGCGCCAAAGAUAACCCUAAAAUCCACAUAUUUAAAAGUCUUAUAACUUUUUAUUUUUGUCCUCACUGGCCUCCAAGUUUUCUAGGAUGAUGCAAUGUCCAGCCAUCAACACAUUUGUGAAGGAAUUUUUACUCCCCAAAAGAGCGCCCCCCCAUGGCAGGAGAAAAAAGUCAAUUUUUUCUUGUCCCCUAAGGUGGAAAUUCACACUAUUGACUGUCACGCCUGUACGCUUUAUCAUAUUGACACAAAAAUUGACACACAUAUGUAUCUCAAUAAGAUCUACAAAAAAGUCAAUGCGCGCGUAUCUGUCAAAUGUACGGUUAAAGGGCUAUUUUGCAUUUUUUGCCGAUUCGCACACAUUGGAAUGUGGCUAACUCCUCCUAAGGCUUUCGUCCCACUGACACCAAAUUUGCUCAGGCCAAUCUACACCCCAUGGCCAUUCAAAGUUGUAAAAAUCAUGACGCUGCACCCCACGGUUUACGUUCUAGGGGGCGCCAAAGAUGACCCAAAAAUCCACAUUCUUAAAAGAAUCCCCCCCCCCCCCCCCCCCCCCCCAAGGCAGGAGAAAAAGUCAAGUUAACCCUGCCCAUCGCUCAAUGGCUCAAUCGCAUCGCUCUCCAGGCAACACCGUAAGGAGGAGCAACCUGCCAUUUCGAUAUAUCAUAGCUGUGUUUGUGCCCUCACUCAUGGUCCAGACUUUUUUCAAAUAGGACAUGAAGUUUGUCUGCAGCGAGUGUUUUGGUAGAAACUGCGCCUCCCAUUCAUUAUAAUGGGAAAUGACCACAGACAAGUGCGCACAUCAUCUUUGGACCUUGAGUGUGACGCGAUCGUGAGGGGGAGGCGGUCGCGCUGGGGGCGGCGCGACGCGGCUCGGGCCCGACAGUGCCCCACCGGGGCCCUAGUUAUUAUUUUUCCUCCCCUUUGAACUGGAAAAUGGCCCACUUCCCACUGGCGAAAACUCAUGAAAUUUGGCAGGACGACCGGGCCUGGUGAAAAAUUUGAUAUUCCGAAGUCGCCCAAACAAGAAAAUGCAAAAUGGCUCCAUAGCGCCCCCUAAGGUGAAAAAUUCACCUGACGCCUGUACGCUUUGUCAAAAUGACACAAAAAUUGACACACACAUGUAUCUCAAUAAGAUCUACAAAAAAGUCAGUGCGGGCGUAUCUGUCAAAUGUACGGUUAAAGGGUUAUUGCGCAUUUUUUGCCGAUCCGCACACAUUGGAAUUUCGCUAACUCCUCCGAAGGCUUUCGUUCCACCGGCACCACAUUUGCUCAGGCCAAUCUACACCCCAUGGCCAUUAAAAGUUAUUCAAAUCAUGACGCUGCACCCCACGGUUUAGGUUCUAGGGGGCGCCAAAGAUAACACUAAAAUCCACAUAUUUCAAAGUCUUAUAACUUUUUAUUUUUGUCCUCACUGGCCUCCAAGUUUUCUAGGAUGAUGCAAUGUCCAGCCAUCAACACAUUUGUGAAGGAAUUUUUACUCCCCAAAAGAGCGCCCCCCCAUGGCAGGAGAAAAAAGUCCAUUUUUUCUUGUCCCCUAAGGUGAAAAUACACAUUGUUGAGUGUCACGCCUGUACGCUUUGUCAAAAUGACACAAAAAUUGACACACACAUGUAUCUCAAUAAGAUCUACAAAAAAGUCAAUGGGCGCGUAUCUGUCAAAUGUACGGUUAAAGGGUUAUUCUGCAUUUUUUGCCGAUUCGCACACAUUGGAAUUUCGCUAACUCCUCCGAAGGCUUUCGUUCCACCGGCACCACAUUUGCUCAGGCCAAAUUACACCCCAUGGCCAUUAAAAGUUAUUCAAAUCAUGACGCUGCACCCCACGGUUUACGUUCUAGGGGGCGCCAAAGAUAACCCAAAAAUCCAAAUUUUUAAAAGUCUUAUAACUUUUUAUUUUUGUCCUCACUGGCCUCCAAGUUUUCUAGGAUGAUGCAAUGUCCAGCCAUCAACACAUUUGUGAAGGAAUUUUUACUCCCUAAAAGAGCGCCCCCCCAUGGCAGGAGAAAAAAGUCCAUUUUUUCUUGUCCCCUAAGGUGAAAAUACACAUUGUUGACUGUCACGCCUGUACGCUUUGGCAAAAUGACACAAAAAUUGACAAUCAUGUGUAUCGCAAUUAGAUCUACGAAAAAGUCAAGAGCGCGUAUCUGUAUAAUGUACGGUAAAAGGGCUAUUUUGCAUUUUUUGCCGAUUCGCACAUAUUGGAAUUUCGCUAACUCCUCCUAAGGCUUUCGUCCCACUGACACCAAAUUUGCUCAGGCCAAUCUACACUCCAUGGCCAUUCAAAGUUGUAAAAAUCAUGACGCGGCACCCCACGGUUUACGUUUUAGGGGGCGCCAAAGAUGACCCAAAUAUACAUUACAGUAGACAAAGUAGUUUUGCCCACUGAGUGGCGCCAAAGGGACUUGUCUGUGGAGUCUGUGAGUCACUAUUGGCCGUUUUUGACUACUUUAGAUUUUACCUUUAUAUUUCCUCUUACAAAAUUUUUACCUUGCCUUGCCUGGUAUCAUUUUUUUCAGCACAACCUCACCUGUGUCAAUUUACAGUUAUUUUAUCAUUUUGACAUACUAUAUUUACACAUUGGACCCAAAUUCACACACAAAACAUAAAAUCCGAGUGGAAAAAAGUAACGUUUUUACUGUGAAAACCACAAAUAUGUGUGAUGAACUGUUUUUAAAACUUAAACUUCAAAUAAAAAUUGUAAACUUCAAAACAUAUGCAAAUUUUUAACAAAGAACAUAGUAAUUUACCUCUAUUUACAUCAAAAUGCAGGCAAUGGCCCAGGUGUUCUUUGUAAAAUUAUUUACAAAACACUGUAUAGUCUCACAAAUGUCACUUUUUAUUUAUGCCACUACAAAAAAACAUGAUGUAAAUGAUGCAUGAUGUAAAACAUGAUGUAAAAAACUUGUGUAGAUCCUCCUCUAUGUCAGUCCAUGUGUAAUUUUUCCAUAAUUCUUUGUUUUUUGCAGCAUUUUUGUUAGUGUAACUGCAGAUUGUGCUGACAGUGUCUAUGGCAAAAAAAAAAAAAAAACUGAAAAUGCCUCAACAUGAACCCCUGGUGGUCUCUGAGGGUGAAACCUGCUAACUGCUGCAGCUCUGUCAGCUUCAGUCUCCCAUGCAGAGCUCGGAGCGCAUGUGUGGCUCUGCACCCUUAGCAGCGUUGCUAACUCCUCAGUAAGGAAAGCCUGCUUCAUGUCAGAGUCUCUAAACUCCAGAAGAAGUCGAUAAAAGUCACUUUCUUUCUAAAAAAAAGUCGUUAGGGGGUCUGAAAAGUCAUUGAAUCUAACAACAAAGUCGCUAGGUUUGCAACUACGUGUCCCAGACUGCAUCCCUGCUGAGAGUCCCUCCCUCCCUUCUCAUAUUGCAGGAAGAACGUAAGCGCCCGCCCCUUGUCAAUCAGUCACCAUAUAAUUUUGGAUUGGUUGUUGUGGUGAAGUUUUCCACCAAUAGGAGAGAUGUUGUGGUGUGUUUUUUUUUUCCUUUGGCAAGCCUUUUCCGCCUGUAAGACCUGUCGCUAAUGUCUGCAUGCUAUGUUUUCCUGUCUCAUACAGCGCGAUCGAGCGCCGAACGUGAUCAAAAUAAGCAGAAAAAAAGUAUCGCGGACAUAAUUUAUCAUAACUCUGGUUUUAUUUGGCCUAUCAACACAAUUUAAAAACUGGUAUAUAGGUUGAGGUCCUCACUUUUAAGAUAAGUUGAAACGGAGAGUCAACGAGGCUCCGUCUUGCAGCUACAUCCGGUUAAAUAUGUCAUGUGACUUGAACGCACACACACACACACACACACACACACACACACACACACACACACACACACACACACACACAGACACACACACACACGCACACACACACACUCAGAGUCUGGUUUUUAGCACCUGCAAAAACAUGCUAUUUACAUAUUUGACAAGAAUGCAGAGGCUCCUUUUGCCCCUGAAAAAAAUCAAAUUUCAAACACAACUUGACUGGUCAUUUCUCCAAAAGACAACCAUGAAGCUCCAUCCAAACCUGAAGCAGGCAGUUGAUGCAUGUGUACAGUAACCUGAGGGGAGUGAGGUGACUGCUUCUGAGGAGAACAUGAGCAGUGAAGAUUCACCUUAGAGCUAGAACAGAGACGUGCACAUGAUUAUACAGGGGCAGGGGCUCAAGUUUUUACCAGUUGUUUAUACAAUAUGGAAAUUAAUGUGAAAUUAAAAAACAAAGUAUUAAUAGAAAGGUAAUGACUGUCCUGUGUAGGUGACAGUGAUAUCCAAUAGGCUAGGCACUCAAGAGGCUGGCUGUGGCAAGUGUAAGUGAAAGCAACACGCACUGGCAGGAAGAACAGCAAACGCCGAUGAAGGAAAAGGGUCUUUGCAGUGAUGGGCGUUACCAGAGAGGGCGAUGGCCAGAGGACACAAAUGGGACGGGGAGGCAGCGCGUUGGGGGGGGGACGCGACACAGCUCGGGCCCGCCAGUGCCCCAACGGGGUCCUAGUUCUUUAGGGCCCGAGCCAGCUGCAGAGCAGCCGGGCGUAGGCCCUAUUAUACCCCAAGUGGUUUUUCUUUGUUUCUUUCUUUCUUUCUUUCUUUCUUCUUUUUCCUCCCCUUUGAACUGGAAAAUGGCCCACUUCCCACUGGCGAAAACUCAUGAAAUUUGGCAGGACGACCGGGCCUGGUGAAAAAUUCGAUAUUCUGAAGUCGCCCAAACAAUAAAAUGCAAAAUGGCUCCAUAGCGCCCCCUAAGGUGGAAAUUCACACUAUUGACUGUCACGCCUGUACGCUUUGUCAUAUUGACACAAAAAUUGACACACAUAUGUAUCUCAAUAAGAUCUACAAAAAAGUCAGUGCGGCCGUAUCUGUCAAAUGUACGGUUAAAGGGUUAUUCCGCAUUUUUUUCCGAUCCGCACACAUUGGAAUUUCGCUAACUCCUCCGAAGGCUUUCGUUCCACCGGCACCACAUUUGCUCAGGACAAUCUACACCCUGUGGCCAUUAAAAGUUAUCAAAAUCAUGACGCUGCACCCCAAGGUUUAGGUUCUAGGGGGCGCCAAAGAUAACACUAAAAUCCACAUAUUUAAAAGUCUUAUAACUUUUUAUUUUUGUCCUCACUGGCCUCCAAGUUUUCUAGGAUGAUGCAAUGUCCAGCCAUCAACACAUUUGUGAAGGAAUUUUUACUCCCCAAAAGAGCGCCCCCCAUGGCAGGAGAAAAAAGUCCAUUUUUUCUUGUCCCCUAAGGUGAAAAUACACAUUGUUGAGUGUCACGCCUAUACGCUUUGUCAAAAUGACACAAAAAUUGACACACACAUGUAUCUCAAUAAGAUCUACGAAAAAGUCAAUGCGCGCGUAUCUGUCAAAUGUACGGUUAAAGGGUUAUUCCGCAUUUUUUGGUGAUCCGCACACAUUGGAAUGUGGCUAACUCCUCCUAAGGCUUUCGUUCCACCGGCACCACAUUUGCUCAGGACAAUCUACACCCCAUGGCCAUUAAAAGUUAUUCAAAUCAUGACGCUGCACCCCACGGUUUAGGUUCUAGGGGGCGCCAAAGAUAACCCUAAAAUCCACAUAUUUAAAAGUCUUAUAACUUUUUAUUUUUGUCCUCACUGGCCUCCAAGUUUUCUAGGAUGAUGCAAUGUCCAGCCAUCAACACAUUUGUGAAGGAAUUUUUACUCCCCAAAAGAGCGCCCCCCCAUGGCAGGAGAAAAAAGUCCAUUUUUUCUUGUCCCCUAAGGUGAAAAUACAUAUUGUUGAGAUUCACGCCUAUACGCUUUGUCAUAUUGACACAAAAUUUGACAAUCACGUGCCUUGCCUGGUAUCAUUUUUUUCAGCACAACCUCACCUGUGCGAAUUUACAGUUAUUUUAUCAUGUUGACAUACUGAAUUUACACAAUGGACCCAAAUUCACACACAAAACAUAAAAUCCGAGUGGAAAAAAGUAACAUUUUUACUGUGAAAACCACAAAUAUGUGUGAUGAACUGUUUUUAAAACUUAAACUUCAAAUAAAAAUUGUAAACUUCAAAACAUAUGCAAAUUUUUAACAAAGAACAUAGUGAUUUACCUCUAUUUUCAUCAAAAUGCAGGCAAUGGCCCAGGCGUUCUUUGUAAAAUUAUUUACAAAACACUGUAUAGUCUCACAAAUGUCACUUUUUAUUUAUGCCACUACAAAAAAACAUGAUGUAAAUGAUGCAUGAUGUAAAACAUGAUGUAAAAAACUUGUGUAGAUCCUCCUCUAUGUCAGUCCAUGUGUAAUUUUUCCAUAAUUCUUUGUUUUUUGCAGCAUUUUUGUUAGUGUAACUGCAGAUUGUGCUGACAGUGUCUAUGGCACAAAAAAAUAAAAAUUAAAAUGCCUCAACAUGAACCCCUGGUGGUCUCUGAGGGUGAAACCUGCUAACUGCUGCAGCUCUGUCAGCUUCAGUCUCCCAUGCAGAGCUCGGAGCGCAUGUGUGGCUCUGCACCCUAAGCAGUGUUGCUAACUCCUCAGUAAGGAAAGCCUGCUUCAUGUCAGAGUCUCUAAACUCCAGAAGAAGUCGAUAAAAGUCCCUUUCUUUCUAAAAAAAGUCGUUAGGGGGUCUGAAAAGUCAUUGAAUCUAACAACAAAGUCGCUAGGUUUGCAACUACGUGUCCCAGACUGCAUCCCUGCUGAGAGUCCCUCCCUCCCUUCUCAUAUUGCAGGAAGAACGUAAGUUCCCGCCCCUUGUCAAUCAGUCACCAUAUAAUUUUGGAUUGGUUGUUGUGGUGAAGUUUUCCACCAAUAGGAGAGAUGUUGUGGUGUGUUUUUUUUUUCCUUUGGCAAGCCUUUUCCGCCUGUAAGACCUGUCGCUAAUGUCUGCAUGCUAUGUUUUCCUGUCUCAUACAGCGCGAUCGAGCGCCGAACGUGAUCAAAAUAAGCAGAAAUAAGUAUUGCGGACAUAAUUUAUCAUAACUCUGGUUUUAUUUGGCCUAUCAACACAAUUUAAAAACUGGUAUAUAGUUUGAGGUCCUCACUUUUAAGAUAAGUUGAAACGAAGAAUCAACGAGGCUCCGUCUUGCAGCUACAUCCGGUUAAAUAUGUCAUGUGACUUGAACGCUGGGGAGCGUCAAUCGAAUCGAAUCAAACCUAACUCUCAGAUGAAUCUUCAAAAUUCACCUCAGAAAUAUGCUUAUUAUUCUUCUCAGAGUACUGCAGGAUACACACACACACAGACACACACACACACACGCACACACACUCAGAGUCUGUUUUUUAGCACCUGCAAACACAUGCUAUUUACAUAUUUGACAAGAAUGCAGAGGCUUUCUUUUGCCUCUGAAAAAAAUCAAAUUUCAAACACAACUUGACUGCUCAUUUCUCCAAAAGACAACCAUGAAGCUCCAUCCAAACCUGAAGCAGGCAGUUGGUGCAUGUGUACAGUAACCUGAGGGGAGUGAGGUGACUGCUUCUGAGGAGAACAUGAGCAGUGAAGAUUCACCUUGGAGCUAUAACAGGGCCGGCACAUGAUUAUACAGGGGCAGGGGCUCAAGUUUUUUCCAGUCGUUUAUACAAUAUGGAAAUUAAUGUGAAAUUAAAAAACAAAGUAUUAAUAGAAAGGUAAUGACUGUCCUGUGUAGGUGACAGUGAUAUCCAAUAGGCUAGGCACUCACGAGGCUGGCUGUGGCAAGUGUAAGUGAAAGCAACACGCACUGGCAGGAAGAACAGCAAACGCCGAUGAAGGAAAAGGGUCUUUGCAGUGAUGGGCGUUACCAGAGAGGGCGAUGGCCAGAGGACGCGAAUGGGACGGGGAGGCAGCGCGUUGGGGGGGGGCGCGACACGGCUCGGGCCCGCCAGUGCCCCAACGGGGCCCUAGUUAGGGCCCGAGCCAGCUGCAGAGCAGCCGGGCGUAGAGCCCUAUUAUUCCUGAUGAGUUUUUGUUUCUUCUUUCUUUCUUUCUUUCUUUCUUUCUUCUUAUUUUUCCUCCCCUUUGAAGGGAAAAAUGGCCCACUUCCCACUGGCGAAAACUCAUGAAAUUUGGCAGGACGACCGGGCCUGGUGAAAAAUUCGAUAUUCUGAAGUCGCCCAAACAAUAAAAUGCAAAAUGGCUCCAUAGCGCCCCCUAAGGUGAAAAUUCACACUAUUGACUGUCACGCCUGUACGCUUUGUCAUAUUGACACAAAAAUUGACACACACAUGUAUCUCAAUAAGAUCUACAAAAAAGUCAGCGCGGGCGUAUCUGUCAAAUGUACGGUUAAAGGGUUAUUUCGCAUUUUUUGCCGAUCCGCACACAUUGGAAUUUCGCUAACUCCUCCGAAGGCUUUCGUUCCACCGGCACCACAUUUGCUCAGGCCAAUCUACACCCCAUGGCCAUUAAAAGUUGUACAAAUCAUGCCGCUGCACCCCACGGUUUAGGUUCUAGGGGACGCCAAAGAUAACCCAAAAAUCCACAGUCUUAAAAGUCUUAUAACUUUUUAUUUUUGUCCUCACUGGCCUCCAAGUUCUCUAGGAUGAUGCAAUGUCCAGCCAUCAACACAUUUGUGAAGGAAUUUUUACUCGCCAAAAGAGCGCCCCCCCAUGGCAGGAGAAAAAAGUCCAUUUUUUCUUGUCCCCUAAGGCGAAAAUACACAUUGUUGAGUGUCACGCCUAUACGCUUUGUCAUAUUGACACAAAAUUUGAGAAUCACGUGUAUCUCAAUAAGAUCUACGAAAAAGUCAAUGCGCGCGUAUCUGUAAAAUGUACGUUUAAAGGGCUAUUUCGCAUUUUUUGCCGAUUCGCACACAUUGGAAUGUGGCUAACUCCUCCUAAGGCUUUCGUUCCACUGACACCAAAUUUUCUCAGGCCAAUCUACACCCCAUGGCCAUUCAAAGUUGUAAAAAUCAUGACGCUGCACCCCACGGUUUACGUUCUAGGGGGCGCCAAAGAGGACCCAAAUAUCCACAUAUUUAAAAGUCUUAUAACUUUUUAUUUUUGUCCUCACUGGCCUCCAAGUUUUCUAGGAUGAUGCAAUGUCCAGCCAUCAACACAUUUGUGAAGGAAUUUUUUCUCCCCAAAAGAGCGCCCCCCCAUGGCCGGAGAAAAAGUCAAGUUUUUCCUGCCCAUCGCUCAAUGGCUCAAACGCAUCGCUCUCUCAGCAAAACCGAAAGGAGGAGCAACUUGCCAUUUGGAUAUAUCUUAGCUGUGUUUGUGCCCUCACUCAUGGUCCAGACUUUUUUCAAAAAGGACAUGGAGUUUGUCUGCAGCGAGCAUUUUGGUAGAAACUGCGCCUCCCAUUCAUUAUAAUGGUAAAUGACCACAGACAAGUGCGCACACCAUCUUUGAACCUUGAGUGUGACGCGAUCGGGAGGGGUAGGCGGUCGCGCUGGGGGCGGCGCGACACGGCUCGGGCCCGCCAGUGCCCCACCGGGGCCCUAGUUAUUAUUUUUCCUCCGCUUUAAACUGGAAAAUGGCCCACUUCCCACUGGCGAAAACUCAGGAAAUUUGGCAGGACGACCGGGCCUGGUGAAAAAUUCGAUAUUCUGAAGUCGCCCAAACAAUAAAAUGCAAAAUGGCUCCAUAGCGCCCCCUAAGGUGAAAAUUCACAUGACGGCUGUACGCUUUGUCAUAUUGACACAAAAAUUGACACACAUAUGUAUCUCAAUAAGAUCUACAAAAAAGUCAGUGCGGGCGUAUCUGUCAAAUGUACGGUUUAUGGGUUAUUUUGCAUUUUUUGCAGAUCUGCACACAUUGGAAUUUCGCUAUCUCCUCCGAAGGCUUUCGUUCGACCGGCACCACAUUUGCUCAGGCCAAUCUACCCCCCAUGGCCAUUAAAAGUUGUACAAAUCAUGACGCUGCACCCCACGGUUUACGUUAUAGGGGGCGCCAAAGAUAACCCAAAAUCCACAUUCUUAAAAGUCUUAUAACUUUUUAUUUUUGUCCUCACUGCCCUCCAAGUUUUCUAGGAUGAUGCAAUGUCCAGCCAUCAACACAUUUGUGAAGGAAUUUUUACUCCCCAAAAGAGCGCCCCCCCAUGGCAGGAGAAAAAAGUCAAUUUUUUCUUGUCCCCUUACAUGAAAAUACACAUUGUUGAGUGUCACGCCUGAACGCUUUGUCAUAUUGACACAAAAAUUGACAAUCAUGUGUAUCUCAAUUAGAUCUACGAAAAAGUCAAUGCGCGCGUAUCUGUAUAAUGUACGGUUAAAGGGCUAUUUCGCAUUUUUUGCCGAUCCGCACACAUUGGAAUGUGGCUAUCUCCUCCUAAGGCUUUCGUCCCACCAAUACCAAAUUUGCUCAGGGCAAUCUACACCACAUGGCCAUUCAAAGUUGUAAAAAUCAUGACGCUGCACCCCACGGUUUACGUUCUAGGGGGCGCCAAAGAUGACCCAAAAAUCCACAUUCUUAAAAGUCAUUUUGGCCACUGCAGGAGUACAGAGUACUGCAGUUCUAGGGGGCGCCAAAGAUGACCCAAAAAUCCACAUUCUUAAAAGUCUUUUUGGCCACUGCAGGAGUACAGAGUACUGCAGGAUACACACACAUAUACACACACACACACACACACACACACACACACACACACACACACACACACACACACACACACUCAGAGUCUGUUUUUUAGCACCUGCAAAAACAUGCUGUUUACAUAUUUGACAAGAAUGCAGAGGCUUCCUUUUGCCCCUGAAAAAAAGCAAAUUUCAAACACAACUUGACUGUUCAUUUCUCCAAAACACAACCAUGAAGCUCCAUCCAAACCUGAAGCAGAUAGUUGGUGCAUGUGUACAGUAACCUGAGGGGAGUGAGGUGACUAUUUCUGAGGAGAACAUGAGCAGUGAAGAUUCACCUUGGAGCUAGAACAGGGACGUGCACAUGAUUAUACAGGGGCAGGGGCUCAAGUUUUUUCCAGUCAUUUAUACAAUAUGGAAAUUAAUGUGAAAUUAAACCACAAAUAUGUGUGAUGAACUGUUUUUAAAACUUAAACUUCAAAUAAAAAUUGUAAACUUCAAAACAUAUGCAAAUUUUUAACAAAGAACAUAGUAAUUUACCUCUAUUUACAUCAAAAUGCAGGCAAUGGCCCAGGCGUUCUUUGUAAAAUUAUUUACAAAACACUGUAUAGUCUCACAAAUGUCACUUUUUAUUUAUGCCACUACAAAAAAACAUGAUGUAAAUGAUGCAUGAUGUAAAACAUGAUGUAAAAAACUUGUGUAGAUCCUCCUCUAUGUCAGUCCAUGUGUAAUUUUUCCAUAAUUCUUUGUUUUUUGCAGCAUUUUUGUUAGUGUAACUGCAGAUUGUGCUGACAGUCUAUGGCAAAAAAAACAAAAACUGAAAAUGCCUCAACAUGAACCCCUGGUGGUCUCUGAGGGUGAAACCUGCUAACUGCUGCAGCUCUGUCAGCUUCAGUCUCCCAUGCAGAGCUCGGAGCGCAUGUGUGGCUCUGCACCCUUAGCAGCGUUGCUAACUCCUCAGUAAGGAAAGCCUGCUUCAUGUCAGAGUCUCUAAACUCCAGAAGAAGUCGAUAAAAGUCCCUUUCUUUCUAAAUAAAAGUCGUUAGGGGGUCUGAAAAGUAAUUGAAUCUAACAACAAAGUCGCUAGGUUUGCAACUACGUGUCCCAGACUGCAUCCCUGCUGAGAGUCCCUCCCUCCCUUCUCAUGUUGCAGGAAGAACGUAAGCGCCCGCCCCUUGUCAAUCAGUCACCAUAUAAUUUUGGAUUGGUUGUUGUGGUGAAGUUUUCCACCAAUAGGAGAGAUGUUGUAGUGUGUUUUUUUUUUCUUUUGGCAAGCCUUUUCCGCCUGUAAGACCUGUCGCUAAUGUGUGCAUGCUAUGUUUUCCUGUCUCAUACAGCGCGAUCGAGCGCCGAACGUGAUCAAAAUAAGCAGAAAAAAAGUAUCGCGGACAUAAUUUAUCAUAACUCUGGUUUUAUUUGGCCUAUCAACACAAUUUAAAAACUGGUAUAUAGGUUGAGGUCCUCACUUUUGAGAUAAGUUGAAACGGAGAGUCAACGAGGCUCCGUCUUGCAGCUACAUCCGGUUAAAUAUGUCAUGUGACUUGAACGCUGGGGAGCGUCAAUCGAAUCGAAUCAAACCUAACUCUCAGAUGAAUCUUCAAAAUUCACCUCAGAAAUAUGCUUAUUAUUCUUCUCAGAGUACUGCAGGAUACACACACACACACAGACACACACACACACACACACACACACACACACACACUCAGAGUCUGUUUUUUAGCACCUGCAAAAACAUGCUAUUUACAUAUUUGACAAGAAUGCAGAGGCUUCCUUUUGCCCCUGAAAAAAAUCAAAUUUCAAACACAACUUGACUGCUCAUUUCUCCAAAAGACAACCAUGAAGCUCCAUCCAAACCUGAAGCAGGCAGUUGGUGCAUGUGUACAGUAACCUGAGGGGAGUGAGGUGACUGCUUCUGAGGAGAACAUGAGCAGUGAAGAUUCACCUUGGAGCUAGAACAGAGACAUGCACAUGAUUAUACAGGGGCAGGGGCUCAAGUUUUUUCCAGUCAUUUAUACAAUAUGGAAAUUAAUGUGAAAUUAAAAACAAAGUAUUAAUAGAAAUUUAAUGACUGUCCUGUGUAGGUGACAGUGAUAUCCAAUAGGCUAGGCACUCACGAGGCUGGCUGUUGCAAGAUUAAGUGAAAGCAACACGCACUGGCAGGAAGAACAGCAAACACCGAUGAAGGAAAAGGGUCUUUGCAGUGAUGGGCGUUACCAGAGAGGGAGAUGGCCAGAGGACGCGAAUGGGACGGGGAGGCAGCGCGUUGGGGGGGGGGGGGGGGGGGGGGGGGGUUGGGGGCCACACGGCUCGGGCCCGCCAGUGCCCCAACGGGGCCCUAGUUAUUUUUCCUCCCCUUUGAACUGGAAAAUGGCCCACUUCCUACUGGCGAAAACUCAUGAAAUUUGGCAGGACGACCGGGCCUGGUGAAAAAUUUGAUAUUCCGAAGUCGCCCAAACAAGAAAAUGCAAAAUGGCUCCAUAGCGCCCCCUAAGGUGAAAAUUCACACUAUUGACUGUCACACGUGUACGCUUUGUCAAAAUGACACAAAAAUUGACACACACAUGUAUCUUAAUACGAUCUACGAAAAAGUCAAUGCGAGCGUAUCUGUUCAAUGUACGGUUAAAAUCAGUGCGGGCGUAUCUGUCAAAUGUACGGUUAAAGGGUUAUUUCGCAUUUUUUGCCGAUCCGCACACAUUGGAAUUUCGCUAACUCCUCCGAAGGCUUUCGUUCCACCGGCACCACAUUUGCUCAUGCCAAUCUACACCCCAUGGCCAUUAAAAGUUAUUCAAAUCAUGACGCUGCACCCCACGGUUUAGGUUCUAGGGGGCGCCAAAGAUAACCCUAAAAUCCACAUAUUUAAAAGUCUUAUAACUUUUUAUUUUUGUCCUCACUGGCCUCCAAGUUUUCUAGGAUGAUGCAAUGUCCAGCCAUCAACACAUUUGUGAAGGAAUUUUUACUCCCCAAAAGAGCGCCCCCCCAUGGCAGGAGAAAAAAGUCAAUUUUUUCUUGUCCCCUAAGGUGGAAAUUCACACUAUUGACUGUCACGCCUGUACGCUUUAUCAUAUUGACACAAAAAUUGACACACAUAUGUAUCUCAAUAAGAUCUACAAAAAAGUCAAUGCGCGCGUAUCUGUCAAAUGUACGGUUAAAGGGUUAUUGCGCAUUUUUUGCCGAUCCCCACACAUUGGAAUUUCGCUAACUCCUCCGAAGGCUUUCGUUCCACCGGCACCACAUUUGCUCAGGCCAAUCUACACCCCAUGGCCAUUAAAAGUUAUUCAGAUCAUGACGCUGCACCCCACGGUUUAGGUUCUAGGGGGCGCCAAAGAUAACCCUAAAAUCCACAUAUUUAAAAGUCUUAUAACUUUUUAUUUUUGCCCUCACUGGCCUCCAAGUUUUCUAGGAUGAUGCAAUGUCCAGCCAUCAACACAUUUGUGAAGGAAUUUUUACUCCCCAAAAGAGCGCCCCCCCCAUGGCAGGAGAAAAAAGUCCAUUUUUUCUUGUCCCCUAAGGUGAAAAUACACAUUGUUGAGUGUCACGCCUGUACGCUUUGUCAUAUUGACACAAAAUUUGAAACACACAUGUAUCUCAAUAAGAUCUACGAAAAAGUCAAUGCGCGCGUAUCUGUCAAAUGUACGGUUAAAGGGUUAUUCCGCAUUUUUUGCUGAUCCGCACACAUUGGAAUUUCGCUAACUCCUCCUAAGGCUUUCGUUCCACCGGCACCACAUUUGCUCAGGCCAAUCUACACCCCAUGGCCAUUAAAAGUUAUUCAAAUCAUGACGCUGCACCCCACGGUUUAGGUUCUAGGGGGCGCCAAAAAUAACCCUAAAAUCCACAUAUUUAAAAGUCUUAAGUUUUUAUUUUUGUCCUCACUGGCCUCCAAGUUUUCUAGGAUGAUGCAAUGUCCAGCCAUCAACACAUUUGUGAAGGAAUUUUUACUCCCCAAAAGAGCGCCCCCCCAUGGCAGGAGAAAAAAGUCCAUUUUUUCUUGUCCCCUAAGGUGAAAAUACACAUUGUUGAGUGUCACGCCUGUACGCUUUGGCAAAAUGACACAAAAAUUGACACAUACAUGUAUCUCAAUAAGAUCUACGAAAAAGUCAAUGCGCGCGUAUCUGUCAAAUGUACGGUUAAAGGGUUAUUCUGCAUUUUUUGCUGAUCCGCACACAUUGGAAUGUGGCUAACUCCUCCUAAGGCUUUCGUCCCACUGAAACCAAAUUUGCUCAGGCCAAUCUACACCCCAUGGCCAUUCAAAGUUGUAAAAAUCAUGACGCUGCACCCUACGGUUUACGUUCUAGGGGGCGCCAAAGAUGACCAAAAAAUCGACAUUCUUAAAAGAAUCCACAUUCUCCCCCCCCAUAGCACGAGAAAAAGUCAAGUUUUUCCUGCCCAUCGCUCAAUGGCUCAAUCGCAUCGCUCUCCAGGCAACACCGUAAGGAGGAGCAACCUGCCAUUUGGAUAUAUCCUAGCUGUGUUUGUGCCCUCACUCAUGGUCCAGAUUUUUUUCAAAUAGGACAUGAAGUUUGUCUGCAGCGAGUGUUUUGGUAGAAACUGCGCCUCCCAUUCAUUAUAAUGGGAAAUGACCACAGACAAGUGCGCACACCAUCUUUGGACCUUGAGUGUGACGCGAUCGGGAGGGGGAGGCGGUCGCGCUGGGGGCGGUGCGACGCGGCUCGGGCCCGACAGUGCCCCACCGGGGCCCUAGUUAUUAUUAUUAUUUUUCCUCCCCUUUAAACUGGAAAAUGG